UUUUUUUUUUUUUUUUGAAAAGUGCUUUUAAAAAUUACUUGCAUUAAGAGAAUCAAAAUACCUUCUUUUAGAGAUCAAUUGAAAUCUCACUUUUAAGUGAGAUUUUAUUUCUAUUAGAAUCAUUUUUUAUUUCAUUCUCAUUAUCACUUGAAUUACCCAAACACGAGAAUGGAUAAUAAAAGAAAUAAGAUGUCCAUUUUUACACGUCCAUUCUUACCCUCUCAUUCCCAUGUAUGAAACAUUCCCUAAUAGUAUGAGAUGCAAUACCUAAUCAUUGGAAAAAAAAAAAACCAACAACCUAGAUUAGUUAAGGUAGUGGUGGAUGUACCUUCUCAACCAAUGGUUACCGCUUGUAAGUAUCGAUAGUUGGAUGUGAGUUAAUAGGCCUAAUCCACCUAUAAGCUAGAGCCUAAACACCUUUGUAAUGGGUCCACAAUGAGUUGAACGAUUCUUGGGAUAGUUGGAAAGGUAGCAAUCGAACAAGACAUAUGAGCAAUGGUAGAGCGUAUGAUGAAUUCCCAUACGAAGCAUCCCAAAGGACAGUUUAUUAAGGAACAUCCGACGGAACCACCUAAGCCAUAAGCCCACAAAUCACAAAUACCAAGGACCAACCUACCCAUAAGCACAUACGAGGAACUAAUUCCAAAGCAUAGAAAUAAGAAAGUACCUUUACAAAUCUACCAUGUGUCGCUUGAAGUAAGUCAGACCAACUAACAACAAAUCAGUAAAAAGGGUACUUCCUAAAAGAAAGGUUGAUCUGUGCCUCCACCAAUCAAAGCUCGCAAUUAAGGAAAACUAUAAAAACAAACAUCGAAUUAGAGAAUGAGGCAAGUAAAAAAAAGGAAGAAGACGAGGAGAAUUUAGGUGAAGUCCCCCACCCUUUGUCUUUGAAGCUACAAACACCCGAAGACACGUGAUAUUCAUCAACCAUUGAUGUGAGACCUAGAGGUUAUGUCGUUAUAGUACUUGCAUGGCAAUAAAGGAUUUGUAAGGAAAGCAACUCGAAUACCUUAGGGGUCAAUAAUCAACAUUGUCAAUGCAUGGUUUAAAUCAUUUCUAAGCCACCUUGAUCGGUAAAACUAAACAAUCGAUCGAUACCCCUUGAGUCAUUUACGAUUUUGUAAAUUUUUCAAAUUUUAAUCAAAAUAGAGGAGAUAAAUCAACUAUAUAAACUCAUUAUUUUGAAGGGAAAAAAAAACCUUUUUAAAUAUUAACUUAAUCAAUUUGAGCUUAGGUUUUUUUGCAAAAUAAUUUUCAUCUCAUUUAUAAAAUUAUAAAACCAAUUUAAGUUCAUUUUUGGAUGAAUUAAGGUGCAUAAAUAAAGCUAUAAUGCAAUAUGAUUUCAAUGCAUCAAUCAAUCUUACGAAAUUAUAUCAUAUGGUUUUUAAAUGCAAAUGUCAGCAAGAUUGCAAAAAUAAAAUAAAAAUUAAAAAAAUAAAAGAAAAAAAGUACAAGUGCAAUCAAAGAUACACUUUAUAAAAAUAAAUAAAUAAAUAAAAUAAUUCCAAAGAAAAAUAACCUCUUUGAAAAAUCUUUAUCUCACACCAACUUUCAAACUCUGUAAAUUAAUUGGAACAACGCCGGUCCAACUGUGCCAUCAAAAGUAAAGACAGACACUGACCUCAUGACCAAAUUCUGAAUAAAUUUCAGCUUUCUACUCACUCAAACGUUUGAUAAAUUGAUGAGAAAGUUGACGGGAAUUUGAAAGCUUUUAAAACACAAACGCAGAGAUGUACAAAUUUGAGGUGGGAAUUCAAAACUUCAAAGAAAAAGAAGGAAAAAAGACAGCAUCUGCAACGGUACAAUUGGAGUCGGUCACGUCAGUGGAUAUUCCGUAGCUUCCAUUGUCCAACAGUACGUUACAAUUUACAAAAUCUAUCCGUUAACGGAUUUCAUCAUCCCGUAGCCAAUCGGAGAUGAGAGACAAAUGAAAGUGUCACGCCGCCCAAUCACUAAUUGGACUCUUCAUCCAUUUAAACGUUGAAAAUUGGCUUUAGCAACUUUUUGAAUGUGAAAAGUCAUUUUCCCUUUUAAAUUCCUUUUCAAAAUAUUUAGCUUAUGUUUGGGAAAAAAUAAAUGUUAAGAAAAAUAUUUUUUUCAUGUUUAAUUGUAUUAUGAAAAUUAUUUGAAAAAUUAAAAUUAAUAAAAAAUUAUGUAUUUUCAAAUUAUUCAAUCUUUAUAUGAAAGAAUAAAAAUAAAUUAAGUGAGUUUGAAAUGAUACAAAAAUAAUUUAUUGAUUUUAAAUUUUUUUUUUGUUUUUUUUUAUAUUUUCUUUUAAAUUUUUUAAGAACCAAACAUAAUCUUAGACUUUAUUGAAUUUUUUUUUAAAUGUAUAAGAAAAGAAAAUAGAGAAAAAAAAUAUUAUGAAAUAAAACGUAAAAUAAAAUAAAAAAUAGACUCGGGAUAUGUUUGGUUCUCAAAAAGUAUUAAGAAAAUAAGAAAAGUGUUAAAGAAAAUUAUUUUUCUCAUAUUUGGUUUAUGUUGGUGCAGUGCCAACCAGAUUAAGUCCGUUUAGCUUUUCUAGAGUUAAACGGGAUUCUUCCUUGCAUAAAAAGAUGUCCGAACAAAUGGUCUGGCACAAAAAAAGUUCUGAAGCUUAAGUAAAAAAAGAAUAAAAAUGGGUGUAAUUCUUUCAAAUGGCCCUGUAAAAAUACAAAUGAAAAUCAAAUAUCGUUAACUUUGUCAAAAUUUAUAUAUUUUUAAAUCACUUAAUCUUUACAUAAAAAAAGCAAAUAAAUAAAAUGAGUUUGAAGAACCAUGUAAAAAUAAUUUAUCAAGUUUAAACCUAUUUUUUAUUUUCCUUCACUUUUUUUUCUUUCAAAUUUUAUAGAAACCAAACAUGACCUUAAAGUCAAUAAAUUAUUUUUAUAAUAUUUUAAAAUUAUUUCACAUAUUUUAAUUCUUCUACAUUAAGAUUAAAUAGUUAGAAAAAUAUAUUAAAAAAAUAACUAAUCUUAAUUAUAUUUAAUUUUUUGUGCAUUAGUAAAAUCAAAUACCAUAGAAUAAUUUUUUUAAAUAUUAUUUUCUUAGUACUUUAUAAAAAUGUUUAGGUCAUGAAAAAUAUUAAGAAAAUGAAAAAACUAUACUAAGAAAAAUAGUUUUCUUUUAUUUAAUUCAUUAAACUUAUGUAUUUUGACCGCCUCCCUAGAAAAGGUCUUAUCCAUUCAAUCUAUUAAAAUACCAAGCUAUCUAUCUACCUAUCUACCUACAAGCCCACGGUUUCAUUCCAAUGCUUUGAUUAGUUACUAAGACUUGAACCUUUAAAUAGAAAAAUUCAAAUAAAUGAAUAUAAAAAUAAUUUAUUAAUUUAAUUUCUUUUUUUUUUCUUUCCAAUAUUUUCUCGAGGAAUCCAAGAUUAUUUUGUCGCAUAAAAAUACAAACACUGCCAAAUGCAUUGUUUCUAUUCGUCAUGGAUUUAGUCUAUGUCAGGUCACCGUGGGCAGAACGGCAAGGUAUUUUGCAAUCAAUGGACCAACUUUAUUAAAUGUGAUUUGGUGAUUGUUGCAUCCAUAUUUUCAAUGUCUUCUACUAUAAGCUUCAUUCUUAUCAAGACUUUAUGAAAUUAUUAUAAUUUUUACAUUUUAUUACAAUGGUGUCCAAAAUUAUGAAAAAAAAAAAAAAGCAUUGACUUUGACAAAUGAAGAAGUGAGAAAAUUACUAUUUUCACCGAUGUUUUUAUUUUACAUGUUAGGUGAAUAGUAAUAGAAGUGGGGAAAAAAAAAAAACCAAGGAAAGAAUAUCACACUAAUUUAGCAAAAUUAAGAAUCCCAAAAGAGAGUUUCAAAGCUGAUCGGAUCACCGAAAUAUGCACAAAAGUUUUCUUCCGCCGUAGCCGGCGGUGGAUACAACCACCCCUCCACGGAGUCGGCCAAUAUAAACUCGUUCCUCGACUCGUCCGAGUCAAGCUCGCCUUCUAUAUUGGGCAACUCAACGAUCUGACUCAGUUCAUCCGACGUGGACUCCUCCGACGAAGACGACAACGACGAUGACGUUGUCGUUGUCGUUGUUGUUGUCGAAUUUAGCGUCUCCAUUGCCGCAGCUUUGGCCGCGGCAGCCUGGACGUCGCGCGGGGAGAGCGUCACCGGCCGGGGAAGCAAAUGGGCGAGGUCGGGGAAGUUUAGGAUCGCUGAGUCUCCCUUGAUGCUCAAGGCGGCGGAGUCAUGGGCUCGCGCUGCCAUUUCCGGGUUCGGGAAUGUGCCGAGCCAGAUUCUCGAUUUCUUGCGCGGUUCUCGAAUUUCGGACACCCAUUUGCCCCAGCUCCGCAUUCGAACCCCUCUGUACACUGGGUGUCUGUUGCAGUCUCUCCCUCUCUUGGUGGCUGGGUUCUGAGCUUUGACUUGUUUGGAUGUGUCAGAAACCGAGUUGGGAACAGACUGAGAAGACCCAGAUGAAGAUGGCGAAGAUGGAGAAGCCGAAGCAGUACUGUUACUAGUACUCUCAGCUUCCGAACUUGGUCGCUCCCCCAUUACCAAAAGGAUAAACCCACCUCGAAUCCUUCCAAGAAAAUGAAUACAGCAGUACAGAUGAUAAUGUAGAGACGUCUCAAAGAGGCCAGAGGUGAAGAGAUGACUACAGCAAUGGAGAGAGAAUCAAGUAUGUAUUGAGAGAGAGAGAGACAGAGAAACAGAGAGAGAGAUUUGAGGGAUUGUUGGUGUGUAUUUGAGGUGGGAGAAGGAUGGGGUUUUAAGGGAUGGAGACGCUCCUUUUCACAGCGACACCCAACCUACCAAUUUCAUGUCACUACACUACCAAAACCAGAGUCUUAAGAGUACAUACAAGAGAGAGAGAAAAGGAGAGAGAGAGAGAGAGAGAGAGAGAGAGAGAGAGGGACCCAUAGGAAGAAUGGGUUGAGCCAAGAGAACUGUGGGACCAAGGCUGUGGCACAAGGCAGACCCCCACCUCAUUAAAACGCCCCUUUUCUAACUCUUCACCUCCACUGCCCACGUCCACCUCCAUUUGUCCGUUAGGGCAUUUUCAUUUGUCUCCACCCAUCUCAGUUGCUCACCACCCUCUCUCCCACUCCCAUAUACCUACAAAAGGCUACAAACGUGGAUCAACCCAUCCUCACUGCUGCAUUUUCUUCCCUUUUCACUUAUUGGGAAAGAGAUGGAGGUCGCUAGAAUUUACUUUUUUUCAACCUUUUUCCAUACAAGAGCUACCAUAUCUCUCCAUCAAAUCACUUCUCCUUCAUCUCUUUUAGUAACAAAAUCUCCAUGAUUUUCCCUUCUUUUCUUUUCUAUUUCACAUUGUUUAUGUUUCUCGGGGAACAACGUAUCUUAAGUGUACUAUUGAAACUUUUGCUAAAUAUUUAUUUUCUACCAAGUCACUUGCCUUGUGUUGUCAUUUUCAGCUUACAAUGCUUAUUUUAAUUUCCGCUUCCAUUAAUUUAAUGCCCAAUUGCCUCCAUGAUUUGAACUCCAAAGGUAUGAUUCCAUACGUUCAUAAUUCUCUUGGAGAUCCAUCAAGUUUUAGCAUAUUGGAAGAUCAAGGGUCAAUUUAACUUCAAAUGCCCACUCUAAUAAUUCAACCAACUAAUAAUUUAGUUCAUAAUUUUAUUCAUUUUGCUUAAUAAUACCAAUGGGGACAGUGAAGCUUAGUUUAAGUAUCACUUCAAUCACAAAAUCAUAAUUAAAUAAUGCUAAUAUUUUUUUUUUUUUUCUUUUGAAAAUUUCAACUAUCUUGAAGUUUUGGCCAAUUUUGUUUUUUCAUCUAAAGAGUAUUAGCCUUCAAAAUAUGCUUUAUGCCAUUAAUAUUUUAAGUCAAAUCUUAUUCCUAAAUAUUUUGUAUCAUGAUAAAAAUAGAAAGUUUUAGAUUUUGUUCGGUAAUUGUCUUUUAAGAAUAGUUUUCUAUUUGUUAAUAUAAAAAACAAAAAUCAUAACUAACAAGUAAGAAACAAAAAAAGAAGAAGUAAUUUUAUGUAUUUAAAAAUAGAAAAUAAGGUAUUUUUAGGUAUUUUUUUUUUUGUUUUUUAUUAUUUUUUUAAGAUUAUUUUAAAAAUAAUUAUAUAAUAUAAAAAUAAAACAUUACAUAUAAAAAUUAUUUUUAAAACAUAGAAAAUAAAUAAAUUAAUAAUAUUUUUAAGAAAAAUAUGCUUUCAUACACUGAUAUGAAAAAAAAACUAUCAAAUAGAAACUCAAAUUUAUAAUAUACAAAUUUCAAGUAAUCGUUUAGAAAUAAUUAACAUUUCAUGUAUUUUUUUUUUAUCAAAUGGAUUAUCUUUGAGCAUUUAAGUACUAUCUUUUAAUGAUAUAAGUACUAUUUUUAGUCAUCCUCGAUACUAUUUUUAGUCAUCCUAGAUACUAUCUUUGACUAUUGAGUCAUAAAGCUUGAAUUAUUUCUAAAGGGUUUCUAUUUUAUGAUCAUUUUAUGAAAUCACACUUUUCGUAACAUUUUUUUUUUGAAAAAAAAAAUAUAUAUUUUAUUACAAUGGAGAUGUACAUUAUACCACAAAUGAAAGAGAAAAAAAAAAUAUCUUAUUACAAUGGAGAUGUACAUUAUACCACAAAUGAAAGAGAAACGAAGAAAAUGGAAAAGAAAAAUGAAGCCAGGGAUGGAGAAAUUGAAGGUACACACACAUGGUCAACAGGCUCAUAGCACGAGGACUGUAUUGAUUCGUCCCAGCGCAUGGUGGCAAAAGAACAACUCAGAGAUUUCAUCGAUGGGUCCAUUUUCAUGAAUUAUGAGAUCUGCACACGCCAACACCACCCAACUGAGAUAGAUCUUUUGUCUUUCUAUUUCAAUUUUUUAAUGGGGUUUUUUCUUGAUAUUUUAUUAUUUUAUUAUUUUUAUUUUUUGUUUCGAUCGGUCGUAGCUGGCACUGAAACCGCUGAGAAAGUGAAAUCUGUUUUCCCAAAUUACUUCAUUGAUCCAUUUUUUUGUUUCCACUUUUGCUAUGGUUUUCUCAUAUGAUUGAAUCACAUGGUCUUAUUUUAAGUUUGAUGUCACGUAUGCUUUCACAUGAUAUACGGUUACAAGAAAAACAACAAAUUUUUUUUUUUUUAAUAUAUUAAUGUUUUAUUGUUUUAAAUUUAUACGUGAUUAUGUCAUCCACCACUAAAGUUAGUUGUAAAAUGAAAAAAAAAAACACAAAUAAUAUAUUCAUAAUAAAAAAUAUAAAAGAAAAAUCAUAUAUUCACUCUUAAAAUUUUUGAGAAAAAUGGAAAGAAAAGAAAAUAUGUUGGAAUUGAAUUAAGAUGCCAAAAGGACUCACAUGCCUACUCAAUAAAUGAGAGAAAUAAGAGAACAGUUUCUCGAAGUUUUAAAACUAUCUAAAAACUGUUAUUAUUAAAAAAAAAAUUUCUAUGAGAGCAAUUUCUCUUUGAAAAACAAAAAAAAAUGAAUAUGUUUUCUUCUUCUCUCUUCUUGAAAACAAAAAAAUAAAAAAUACGAUUCUUCUUUAUAAAAAAAUAAAAAUAUUUUCUCUUAAAUUUUUUUUCUUGUUUUCACUAUGAGAACGAAGGUCAAAACUCUUAUAUUGUGAAAACGAUUAAUUCUCGUAUUUAUUGUUUAAUUCAAAACGAGAAACAACUCAUUGAAAUUCCUUGACAUCUCAAAAGAUAACCCCAAAGCUUUAUUUUAUAUUAAAAUAAAAAAAAUAAAAGAAAAUUAUUAUAUUUUUUUUAAACCCAUUUAACUUACUUCAAUUAUUUUAUACAAAAAUUAAAUAAUUUGAAUAUAAGUUUCUCAUUCAUUUUAUUUUUUAUUUUUAUAGAAAAACUAGAUAUACAAAAAUUCAUUUUUAUCAUCUUUUUAAUACUUUAAAACCAAACAUAUGUAAAAGUUGUCCCUCUUUUUGUUUAAAUUUUCCUAUUUAUGAUCGUAUUUUUCCUCACAAGAGGUUGUACCAAUUUAUUAGGAUUAUAUGACUCUCAACUAUCGUAUACUUUUCAAACCACUCUUUUUGGUAUGAUAAUCCACCUUUCUUACUCAAACAUGUGCAAUUUGGUGCUAAAACUUCAAAUAUUUCUAAAUUUUCAAUUCUUUUAUUCAAUAAUUUUUUAUUUUUCUAUUUUCCUUUUGUCCAGUUUUUCUUGUCGUCAUCCCUUUUGGGAUACUUCCCUCCCCCCCCCCCCCCAGCCAUCCCUAAUCCAUGUUAAGGCAAAAGGCUUCAAGAAAUAGACUUUCUAGAAUGGAUGACAUAGAAAAGAUUAGGUGGGUAGGGAAUUGAAUUAGUCAUCUCAAUGACUCAUCCAAACACACACCAUUAUCUCCUCAUUAAUUUAAACCUUUUCACAAAGCUUUUACACCAAUUCAACAUGUCUAGAACACAUCAAAAUAAGCUGUACAGCAGUCCUUUUAGCCCAUUAUGAUGAUUUCAAAAAGUGCUUACAAUUAAGCUUUGGGGUUUGCAAAGUGUUGUGCAAGCAAAAGCUUUGAUGUCAAUAAUGUUAAUUCAAAAACACAAAGAUAAAAUAAUCACACAUACGGUACAUGAUGUUUUAACAUGGUUCGACCAAUCAUACCUACGUCCACAGAUGAAAGAAAAUGAUUCCACUAUAUAAUAAAGAAUAUUACAGAAGACAGAACCGAUAUACAAUUAUUGGGUUUCUGAAAUAUCUCAUGUUUCCUCACUCCUUAUAUCCAUAUCUCACUACAAACCCUUUCGCUCCACUAGCUACCUCCCGUUCUUCCUUACAUAUCUAUCCAUCUCGUAUAGUUUCUACAUGUCUAUCUCCAUCUCAUAACUUUUUUCCCUUAUGACCUAUAAUGUUUAUAAAGAUAUUUCCAAUAAUAUUCCUUAUUAUUCUAUAAGGAAGUCUAAUAUUAUAAUAAUAUAUCAACUUAGAAAUAUUCUAUAUAAUAUUCUUUACAAAAAGGAAUUUAUACUAAUUAGGAAUUUGGGGCACUUUCUAACACAAAGCGAAACACCACAUGAAGAUGAAGGUUGGGGGGUGGGGUGGAGGCGGGAGUUAAUGUGGAUGCAGGUACCCAGAAGGCCCAAAUCUAAUCAUGCAACUUAUCUGUCAAGAAGAAAAUGGGCGAUGGACCCAAAAGCUUUAAUCAUCUCCAGGAUAUAUGAGCUGUAAUGUACAGUUAGAUUCACCUUAUAACUGUAGCUCUUAAAGACCCAUGAUUUGAUCUUCAAAUCUGCGUGCAAAGCUGUGUUUGUACAAUGAAAUGAAGGGUGAAUGAGAAACAUAUGGUCUGUUCAUGACUCUAAAUCUAGCCCUUCUCUGCCACACAACUUUGGUUUUUUUUCUACGUUCCUUUUUUGGCGUGGAGGGAGUGGCCAUGAUAAGAUGAAGAAGAGACAAACUAGUGAUUGGAGUAAGGAGAAGGGUGCGAGCAUUGAAGGUGGUGCGGGAUUAAGUCGGAAAAGAGAGAAAUUUGAAGACGUAAUUCGUUAGUGGCCUACUUUUGCUUGAUGUGGAUGGAAUUGGGGACGUGGUGUGUGAGAGAAAGGACUUCUUUCCGUACCUAUUUAUUUUAGACAUGUUCUUUCAUGGUUUCCAUCUUUCUUUUUCUCUCCCUCUUUCUUUUAUUGUCCUUUUUUGUUCUUGUUUGUUCUUCUCCUUCUUUAUGGGAAUAUAAUUUCAUUUUUUUAUUCAUUUUUUUUCUAUAUUAAUGAUUUUGUAAAACAAGAAAUUUUGUAUAAGUUUUAAAUAUUUCAAUUAAAGAAAAAAUUUACUUAUUAAUUAUAAAUUGUAAAAUGAUUUUCAAAUAAUAUUAAGGCAUUUUGUAUUCCUUUAAUAACAAAAAUUGAGAUAAAAUAUAUUUUUACUUUUAAAAAAUAUCAAAUAUCUAAAUAUAUUAAAUAUUAACAUCUUUGAAGAUAUAUUUAUCUUUUAUCUUAUUCUAAUUUCUAUCCCAUUUAGCAAAAAAGGGGAGUUCCACAAACCGACAUCUUGGUGCACGUGUCAACACGAACGGGUUUUGGGCUUCGUUCCGGAUUCUGGAACCAGGCCUGAAUCCUGAUAUUGGAGCAGCCAAGCCCCUGGUUGGAUAGUUGGGACAAGAGUGAAAUGCCACCAAAAGUCUAGGCCCAAGCUUUGUUGUCUACCUUUUGGGUCAAAAAGGCCCAGUCCAGAACCCAUUGGGUGAAAGAAAAAGCCCCAUAAAGAUUUGCAGGCCGGUAAUGAGUCUUACAAAAAAAAAUUCAGUCAAUACGUAUACCAUGAAAUUUCUGAAGUUUCGGUUUAGUUGUCGGGAUUUACUUAAUUCUUGGAAAGAAAUUCUAACUACUAUUAAAGGUGGUGUUUGUUUUUGUGACUGAAUGCAAAUUUACUUUACUUAUGUUAGUUUAUAUCAAUAUGUUACUUUUAAUUAAAUAAAAAAAUCAAAUAUUUUAAAUUUUUUUAUUCAGUCAAAAAACAAACACCAUGAGUGAAAAGUGAUGUUAUUAGAUUUUCAACUUUUUUUUUUUUUUUUUUUCUAAUAUACAUAGUCCAUGAAUUCUCUAAACCUCUUUCGGACCUUUAAACAUAUAGUUCGAACUCCGGUGUUAGGGUUCAAAAGAGGCUCUCAAAGGGGCAUUCAACACAAUUUUUAUGUGAACUCACCCUUGAAAAUCGACUGUCAAAGAUCAGAUGUCAAAAUGUUUACAAACCCAACCAUUAAGCCUUAGUUUGGUGGUGUGGGACUCAACCGGAUUGUUACAAAAUGACGGACCCAAAACCAUGAAACUUGGGCGGGUCCUUUGCCAAAAUGAAUGACCCAAAUCUAACAUAUUUUGAGUAUCCAUUGAUUUUGUAGAAGGAAGACCUUGAUGCAAUUUUCUUUUAGGGAUUUGCACUUCACCAUUGCAUAUAAUGCUAUUUUAUAAGCAUGAGUCCAAAAUUGAAAUUUUAGGAAUUUCUUCCAGGUGAAUGGAGUAGGGUUGAAGGAAAGUAAUCUUAUGAGUGAGUUUGGUCACCUAAUGUACAUGUUCCGUUCUUGUACUGCAACUAAAUCUCAAUCCCUCAAUUUUCUAACAGAACAACUUCCCCCAAACAGCCCUCAAGAAUGUCAAUGUCAGAUAGCCCAAAACUUGCUUAGUAGUUGGUCAUGUUGAACACCAGCUUCACCACAUCCCCAUUUUUAUUCACAUUCAAUCCAAUUUUCUUUUCUCCUCUUUCUUUUGGUCAAUCCCAUCAUAGGAAAACAAAGGAAUGUUGUUGGGUUGGGCCUCCUAAACCUCUUCCCUAUCAUAGGACCCACAAAUGCCAUCCAAGUAGUUUGUUUAAAAAAACUUUUGAUUUUUAGAAUAAAUUUGAGGUAUUUUCAAUUAUUUUUAUAAAGUAUUUUGAAUAAUAAUUAAAAAUAUAAAAAUUAUUUUUAUAUUAUAUUUAAGUGCAUAGCACUUUUAUCGAGAAUAAACCCACAAAAAAAAAACAAUUUUUCAUAUUUGAUCUCUGAAGCAUGAUUUUAUUUCUAGAAACAAUUAAAAAAAUAUUAUUUUUAAAAACAUUAUCAAACAAACCAUUAAACAUUAUCGAGCUAGACCUAGAAUACAAUUGUUAAUAAAACGGAGAUUCCUUCCAUGCAACAAAAUCCAAUUUUGGAUUUCCACUUACAUGAACAUGGGUGCUUUCAAUGGUAAAUGAUCUUUUGAUGAUUGAGAAGAUCUUCCAAAAUUUGGGCUAGAUAUGAGGAGAGCACAAGGGAAUGAGUGGUUGUGUUGCAUGACACCAUCAUCCACUUCAAUACCUACUUGCUUCAUUUCCUCUCCCCCACGCCACAAAACCAGACCCAUCAUCUUUCCAUUCUUAUUAAAUCAUAAUUUAAAAUCACUAAAAUUCCCAAAAUUCUUACCACUUGUCAAUAAAAUAAUUAACACAUAUAUUUCUAAUUUUUUUCUCUAAAUAAUUGCUAAAUUUUUCUAAUAUAUUUGUAAAUAUUUUUAUAUUAUGAUAUCAUAUUAUUAAAACUUUAUCAACUUUUUUGCCUCAUGUAAGUAGUAUACACCCUUAACAUAACAUACUAAAAAGACCAUAGCAUAGGCAAAUAGAUUUUUUUUUAUGCCCUAAUCAUAUAAUUAAUUAAAUAUUUUUUUCAUGAAUUUAAUGUUAAUUUUGUAAUUACAUUUAUGGAUUCACAAAAAUAUGAAAAAGAAAUAAUAAUAAUAAAGACACGUUUGCAAUGUGUGAGCAGUAUAUAUAAAAUGUGUAGGCAAAAACACACCAACGUAACUGAAACUGAACUCUCUUCUUCGUCUUCUUCAUCUCAGAGUUUGGGAUUUGAAAAUGGACGUGUCAGAGAGUUUUGGUGGAUACCGUAUCGGAUUGGACGAAUCGUAUCGGCCUCUUCCUUCUGUGUACUUGGCUUUCCUCUCGAUCUGGUUCGUCUCCGCCUGUUCUUGGACCGUCAAUACCUGGAAAAACCGCCAUUUUCAGGUCAUUUCUCUUCACUCUUUGUUUCUUGAUUACAUGUGGGUGGCCUGUUUGUUUUGAUGGGAAAUUUUUUCUGGGAAAGUUAAGUAUUUGUUGGAGAAAAAGAUGAGUUUUUCUGAGAACCAGAGGGGGGUGAGGAAAAUUGAGACUUGCAUGUUCAGUGAUGGGUUUGAUCUGAUGAUUCUGCGCCUUUUAUUUUGAUUAGACUUGGGAAAGUUGAUGGUUUUUGUAUUUUUUUUAGGGGUUUUUAUGUUUUUUUUUCUUCUUUCGAAAGAAUGCUCUUUUUGGUUGCUGAGAAAAUGGAGGAAAAGAAAAUAAAUUCAAAUUCUUGGUUUCUGAAUUUUCCGUUGCUUCAAACCCCUCCAAUCCACUGAAUCCAUAGAACUACUGGGGUAGUGGUGAAUUUUUUUUCCAUUUUUGGAAACCAGAACAGAACAACAUGAACUCAAAUUGCAUUCUCUUUUCUUUUUCACCAUUUCUUCUCUCAAUCAAAAGGAGGGUUUAAGCGAUUUCCUUCAAAAUUAUUAGCCUGGAUAUUUCCUGUUUAUAAUUUUCAUUUUUUAAUCACCUGUACUGUGAAUUAGAUUUUCAUUUGAUUGGAUUCUGUUUUGUAAUUGCUUCAUUUUUGUGUCAUUGUUAUACUAGAGCAGACGAAUAAUUUGCAGUGGACACUUGCAUCUGUUCCAUUGAUUAAAGCUCUGCAACUCGCCCUUUCCUUUAUCUUCUGGUAAGCCUCAUGAUUAAACUGAAACGUGGUAGUGCCUAUAAUGAAAAAAUUGAAAAGAAAAAAAUGAAGUUUCAAGGUUUUUCAUAGUUCUGUAUUUUGGAUGACAAUAGCUUUUGAACCGGUUCUUCGCUGUUUUCGUUUCAAAUUAUCCGAGUUCGAUCAUUUACCGAAACAAUCUUAAUAUUGCAUUAACUGUUUUUCAUAUUUCAAAGCACUGGUCUUGCAGGUAUUCAUGCUUUAAUCUUCAGAUAUGCUCAGUGUGGAUGUCAUUUGGGGUGUAUGUAACUGGGGUGCUCUUUCAGACUGCUUCUUUCGUGUCUUUCUUGCUCAUUUCUCAUGGUUAUUGUAUCAUGUGUGAGCGUUUAUCGGUCCCUGAACGACGCACUACAGCUGCACUUGGAUGUGUCUUUUACUUGACUCUUGUUGGUUACCGAGCUUCUGUACCUUACUUUGCAGUAAGUUUCUAACUAUCUAAUGCAAUAUGAUCUUGAAUCUGUGGCCGCAUCCAAUUUUUGUCGAUGUCAAUUUUAAAGAGUAAUCCCCAUUUGCCUAAAUCUAUUUUUUCUACCUGAAAUAGUAACCCCUUUUCACUUCCUAUGAUCCAGGUCCUUCUUCUGCUUAAUUAUUUUAUUUCCUUCUAUGUGAUCUUCCACCAUAUAUCCCGAAAUUUAUUAUUGUUACGGGAACAAUUGAGUUUCAUAGAGGAUGAGGAGGUUCAUGCAAUGCAUGAUGCGGUUUACACAAAGUAUAUCAUGUUCAAGUAUGUGUUUCUGGUACUAUAAAUGGUCUAGCCUUUUCUUCAUGGAAGAAUAUUAUGGUCUGAAUUUGAUCUGCCAUUUUCUUUCGUAUAUAUAGAAAAUUUCAGGGUGCAAUGCAGAUAGUAGCCAUGGCAGAAACUGUGGUAUGAAUUUCCUAAUCUGUGGAUUCUAAUUAUAUUUACUAAUAUGCUAAAUACCGAAGCUCGAUCGAUGAGACAGUUGAGUGUUUUUCUGGAUGUCAGAUAUACAUUAACGUGGAUGACUCAUCAGAAAAAUACUGGCUUCGCUUGUUAGUUCGAGAAUGGGCACAAUUCUGCAUCUUUCUGUACAUUGGGUAUGUGUUAAUCACAUGAUAUAGUCAAAGUCUUCAAUAGAAACAUUUUAGUUCUUAACGAUUCACGAAGUUACUAAUUAUAGGUGUAGACAAUGUCUAGAAAACACGACAAAUUUGCUUACUGGUUUUAAUCCAUUUUGGUUUUGUAGAUGGACCUUCAGGUCACAAGACUUGGCGCCACGCUUCUCUUUUAUGCCAUCCUUAAAAUCUAACAUGGAAGUAUGGUUGCCUCCAGUGUACAGCAUUGUAAGUUCUUAGUCAAAUUUGAACACUUCAAGACUAUUGAAAUAACAUUUUGGACCAUGCCUAACUGAUCAGUCUUCCUUUUCAUAGCCAUAUGAACCCAUCAUGCACAAUCAUCUUUUGAGGAUUUGAGAAAUGACGUUGUUUAUGAUUCUUGUUGUCGGUCUUUUUGUGGAGAGUGGGUAAAACAAGUAUCAUGAUCAAACCAUUCUCAGUCCCCAACUUCUGAUUCUUAAUUUCAUCAUCCAUGGAUUCUAGUUUCAUCGAAUAUGAGGAUGUAUUAUACAUCAAUGAAACUCCUAUUUUUGUAUUUGCCAUUUCAAACACCUCGACUCAGACUAGACUCUGCCAUAUCUUACAGUUCUUAACUCAAAAUUGUAUUGGAUUUCAUUAUUUGCUUGUUGAGCACUAACACGUCUUAGUAGUCGGUUGAUGGCAGACCUGCUGAGAUAGGCAGGGUUGGUUCUUAUAAACAGAACCCAAGAUGCAGGGUUUCUCUGUAUACCUCUAGAUACACAGUUAUGAAAUUAGUAUUCUUUUUUUUCUUUUCUUCAGAUAAUAGUAACUCAUGUUCCUGCAGGAAAUGGAUGCAACAGCUUUCAAAGAUUUUAGCAGUCAUGAAUGGCAUAUUGGGGUGGUAAGUGAUGUUAAACUCGAACCCCUUGCCUGUUUAUGGUCUCAUUUAUUCAAAUUUUUAGUAGUUUCUCCAUGGAUUGAUGAAGCCUAAAUAUCAGUUAUCCUAUGAGCUUAUUUUUUCCAAAUGGCUGCCAGCAUCCUUUCACAAAAGCUCUCCAUUAUCCUGUUUAGGUUCUUAAUUUUGUGCAGUAUUCAGUUAUUCUAUACUAAAUCUGAGUUGGUAUUGUUACUGAAAAAGCGAUUUAUGCUCUUCCAGCCAUCUUCGCUUUCCUGCAAUGAACGAUUUAACGAUUCCGUUCUAGUAGUAAUUCAGCAUCCACAUGCACAUAGGCCAACUUCAGCAACGCCCUCUUCCCCAACUCCAGCUGGUGUAGCCUCUUCUGCAACUGACUCCAGUUCAGAUUCAUGUCCAAGCAAGAAUCACGAGUAAAAUUUACUCAUAGAAUAAACUACUGCAAUAUGCUCGCUAAUGUUCUUCACAAAAAAUUUCAGCAGUAAACGUUGAUCUUCCCUCGUGCCUCCGAUACCCGUAAACCUGACAGCAAGAGCUGCAAAAAGGGUGGAUGGUGAUUCGUUGGCUUAAGCUAUAGAACUUGCAGUUGAUUGAUUUAGUAACUGUAUAUUCCUCUCCCCUUUGUGUUGUUUCUUGUUUGAAGUUGUAUUCCUCCUGUAAAUGUAAUUCUGAUUUUGGUUGAUGUUUAACUACUAAUUUUUCUAAAAAAAAUCUUACCCACAAGUGAAGAGACAAAUAGAAUUUGCAUUUAUAUUUAAUAGAGACAAACAAAACCCGAGACUUCUCGUCAAACCAAAUUCUGACAUCAUGUUGAACUACUAAUUUUUCUAAAAGUUUAAGUUUCUAGGGUUCAAUAUACAUAUUGUGCUCCUUAAGGUCAACUAUUUUGGGCUCAAGCCCAUGCUUGCCAACAAAGCUAAAAAACCUUGAGAUUCCUUCAUGUUUACUAAUAAAUUUUCAAAAUUUAACUUUCACGAUGUUUUCUUUAAGUAUUAAAAAUGGUAAAAAAAAAAAAAAUUUAAUUUAAUUUUUAUUUUCAAAACUAAACUUACAUAAUUUUAAAUUAUUUAAUCUUUAUAUAGAAAAGUUAAAAUAAGUGAAAAUUAUUAUAAAAUAUAAAAAUUUAUCAAAUUAUGGUACUUGUAGAUGAUAUUCCAUAUUGAUGUAUAUCUUUUUGUAACUUUCAACAAAAGACAGAUAUUUGUAAUGAAAAUUUAUUAUGUUCUUUUCUACAUUCAAUUUUAUUUCUUUUUGAGGAUUUUUGUUUAUUCUUCAUUCUUUCUUUUUCUCAUUCUUUUAUUUUACAUCAGAAAUGAACUAAAUAUUAUAUAAAAAUAAUUUAUUGAUUUUAUUUUUUUUUUAAAUUUCCUUAUUUUUCUUUACUUUUACUUUUUCCUUUUUAUUUUUUCCCAAAAUCUCCUUAAACCAAACAUAAAGAUAACAUAGUAACUUCAAAUAAUUAAAAUAUCUAAGUUCAUAUAAGAUAUCUUGAUUAUUUUCUAGAAUUUAGAGGAGCUUUGAAAAAGAAAAAGGAAACAAAUUUAGAAGGCCAAAAAAGGGAAAAAUAAUUUAGAAGAAAAAAACAUUAAUUAAGUAAGAGGAAAAAAAUGUUAUCCGGGGGGAUUAAGACUACAACUUGAAUGGGUUAAAAGACUAACGUGCCAAACCCAAUCUAAGAUCGAGUUGAAAAUUAGCAACCCAUAACCAAGUCCAUGCCCAAUGCGGGUAAUUAUUUUAAAUGUUCAAGAUUUAAAAUAAAUAAUUACCCACAAACUCAAAUUUCAACUCCAAAAACAUUCUAAUAAUUAAACAAAAAUGAUAAAUAUAUUAGUUUUUAAGAUGAUUAAGAAUUGACAAAUCUUGAUAUUUUUCUAACCCAUUCAAACCUUGGGUGGGUUGAACCCAUCUAAGUUUCAGAUGGGAGACAAUAUCCAGGCCCAAAAAUCUAUCCUACUCUCGAACCUGGGCCAACUCUAUUGGGCUGGGUGUGUAGAGCCCCCCCCCGUGAAUGAAAUCCACCGGGAGAGCUUUCUCUCUUCUUCUCCGCAGCAUUCGGGCUUUCGUGGGACGAGCAGUGAGUGCAGAGACUGAAGUAGCGUGACAGAACAAUCCAAAGCCGACAAAUAUGAGUUCAGGUACCCUCUUAUGGGGUUUGAUUUUGUAUUUCCAAUGAUUACUAUGAUCAUGGUGUUUCGCCUUCUAGUUUGAUCAAAAUGCAAAAAGCCUUAAUUUUUGCUUUUCUAAUUCUCUGUUUGGUUGCCCAGAAAACGGAGGCGAAAGAAAAUCUGAGACCCAUAAUUUUUUUUGGGUUUAAAAGAAAAAACCGAAAUAAUCAAUAAAAGGAAUUCCCUUUUAACUGUUCUGGGUUUUCUUCACUGCUUAAUUUUUUUUUUCCUUAUUUUUUAGCAACCCAAGGGAGUAGUAUGAUGCACAAUGGAUGAUUUUCUGGAUUUUUGUUAAUAUGAAGAGAAAUUUUUUAUGAAGGUUCUGUUGAAUUGGUAUGGAAAUACAAGGCUUGUUUCCGUUAGUAAGAAUUUAGGGUCUUCGAAACCAAACCCAUUUCUAAUAAUUAGGGUUAACUUAAAAACCACCUGCAUUUUGUUCUGGAGUCCAUGAUACAUGUUUACGUUUUUAUAUUAGAUUGUUCUCUUUGUUGGGUGGUUUGAUUCAUGAACCAGAUCAGACUGUAGAAAUCAUUACUGUCAACUUUUCUUACUUAUCAAAUCUGUCUAUUGAAAAGAAAUAAAAAUGCAGUCAAGGAUUAUUUCAUUCUUUUUUUCAUUUUAUUAGAAAGUUUUUGAUUUUGGCAGGUGGUGCAUUUGGUGGAGCCAGGGGUGCAAGGCCAGUGCCACCGGAAAAAGGAAUAUUCCCUUUGGAUCGCAUGCAUGAAUGCGACCUGGUAGAAUUUCCCUCAUGUUUUCACUAGAAAUGAGUUUUUACUUAUAUUUAUGUUCAUAUGUUUUUUAUGCCCUUAUAUUAAGCAUAACAAGUUCUUGAACAUUGUGUGGUUUCAACUUAAAUUUCGGGUGUCUUUUGUUUCUUUGGCUAUUUUUCCUUCAUUUCAUAGUUGCUGUUGCUGUAUUGAUGUGUUUCAGGAGAAGAUAGAAUAUAUCAGCUGUCUCAAAUCCUCUGGUAAUAAUUCUGAAAAAUGUAGGCACCUCUCAAAAAAGUACCUCCAAUGUCGUAUGGAUAAGUAAGUGGAUUUUUGUUUUGCUUUUCUCUUUAUUGAGUUCGGAGAUAAGUUCCAUUUGUUUGGAGAAAAUGGAGUAGUUGAAAGGGUGAACCUGUGAAUGGGAUAAGUGAGGAUCAUUUUUAUUUUUAAGGUGAACUUUGUCAUGACUCUACUUGGAUGGUUAAAGCUCCAUUGACAUAUGAAUGUGGCCUUUCCAUAACAAAACCUUGGUUCAAAUGUGAAAUUAGAAGGCAAACUCUUUGCCUUUCAAGGUUAAGCUGAAUCAGCUUAAUUUUAAUUUAGAGCUGUCUCAGGGUAUUAAUUUCUGAAAGCAGUGUAGUGACUCUGUGCAGGUCUUAAUUUACUCAACCAAGAUGUUAUUUGAUCUCCUAAUUGCAUUUGGCACUAUAAGUAGAUUGUCAUUUUUUGAAGGGUUCAAUAACUAGAACUAAGUUGUCAUUGAUGAAGUUGCAUAUUGAUUCUUUUUCUCUUUUUCUGUAGAAGGAGCUUUUCUUUUUUUGCAGCACCUUCAGAAAAAUUGCUUAUUUAGCGAUUUUGUAGUUAAUUUGAAGGAAAAUAAAUCCUCAUAUUUCAGUCUAAAGGAUUUUACUUCUUCCAAAAGCUAGCCAAUGGGAUGCCAUUUUGUCCUUUUCUCUUUUCUCCUUUUUUGAGUCAACAGUAGUGUUAUUGGAGUGAAAACAUGUCUAAUUGCUAAAAUUUUUAACACCAAAAUUUGGAUAAGGAGUUCCAUAUGGAUUUUAAAGAAACCCUAUUGAGCGGAAUAUUGGAACUGUUGCUGAGGGAGAUUUGCUCAUACCUUGUCCCAUCUGAGUUUGAUACAACUUUCUCUCUAAUUGACAAAUAUAAAAAAUGUGUAUGUUACAAACUUAGGGUGAUAAUUUUUCUCUCCACUGAUUCUUUAUCCUCUAAGAUUGAGAUGUUAGUUCAUGCCAAUCUUCCCAACUUAGGGUGUGUCUGUAAAUAUGUCCAAGGAAGAAUAACUUGGAUAACCAUUAAAGCAUAUUCUUCCUAGUGUAAUACUGCUUUUAUAUGUGGAGGAUUGAAUAUAAUGGUGAAAAUAAACAUAAAGUAGCUUGUUGGUGAAACUCACUACUCUCUCUGUCUCUCUCUCUCUCUCCCUCCCUCUCUCUGAACACCACCGCAGCCUCCUAGCUUCCCAGUUCAAAAAAUAUAAAAAAGAAUAGAAAAACAAAAACAUUUCUCCUGACUAGAGUGGUUCUUAUCUGAAAUGCUGUCAGACUAAAUAAUAAUCUUUUGAUGGGAUCUUGCAGGAACUUGAUGGCAAAACAAGACUUGUCAGAACUUGGAUUCAGAAAGGAAGCUGACACCGUAUCUUCUGAAGGGAAAAAUGAUCUGAGGAUUGAUUCUUGAAGCCCAUCACCAUUUGUUUUGAGAGCAUGACAGUAGUUUUGCAAAGUGGAAGACCAUUUCCCUAAUUUUGAUUAGUUGUUUAUUUUUUGUUCUUUUGAUACAAAACCAUGUAAAUGACCUAAGAAAUCUGAGGAUUACAAGCUUUUUACUGCGACAGCUAUGCUCAAAUUUAGGCUAGAAACUACUAGGGUAACCCUUUACUAUUUUCUUGAAUUUUCCCUGAAUUUUGUUGGAUCCAGCAACAUUUUUGGAAAUUGUUAUAAAUAUGCAAAUAAAGGAUGCACUGAAGCCCAUACUCUGGGUUUUAAAUGGAAGUGAACUCUUUAUUCUUUUAUUUCUGGAGGAUGAUAUUGUCUGGGAUUGUUUGCAUUAUAGGUUGGAUACUGAGGAAGCUCUUACUAUUUUACUUUUGCGCCAAUUCUGCUAGCAUUGAUGGGGAUGAAGUAUGGAGCAGACUGAAAAAGGGUCUUGUUUUGGGAAACCAUUGUGUUUUGAAGCUCGAUAUGUCAUUCUUGAUAAUAGCCUACUUUCAUGGAAUUCUUUAAAAAACAGUUUUUCUUCUGGUUUUAGGACAGAAGAGACAUAUGAGAUAGUGUGGGAGAUUUGGGUUUGAGCACCUAUACACAAUAAACUUCCCUUCCAAUAAACAAAUGACAGUUCGUAUACUUCAAAAAAUUUUGGGCUGGCGGGAGACAAACCCAAGAAAAGAGACAAAUAUUUUAGUAAUUUCUUUAUUAUUUUCCAACCAUUUCUCUGUGGUCGCCCAACCUCUCCAUUUGUUUCUGCGCUUGGUCCUUUCCUUCUCUCUCUCUCUCUCUCUCUGGUUCCAUGGCUUUCCUUCUCUCUCUGCAACUCCCCCAUUCAUACUCGUAAUCUCUCUCUCUCUCUGAGAAUCUCACUCACUCUUUAUAUAUAUAUAAUGAAAGUUAAUGAAUAAGUUCACUUUUCAACUUCUAUACCAGUAAAUGUAUGUCUCAAUUGAUUAUCAGCCUUUUAUAUUUGUAAUAUUUAGUCUGUUGUGUAUCAUCCAUCUGUUGAAUUUUGAGUUAAAAACUGCUCUCAGAACUUUGUUUUUCCAACUGGGUGUAGUGUUCAUGAACUUUCCCAAGUUUUUGAGAUUGCCAUAGAGUUUUGAAAUUCUGGGGAAAAUUUUAAUGUAGCUAGCAUUGAAGUAAUUAGGCUUGUUCAUUUUAUUACUUAUUUAAUUUUUUGGAGAGAGGGAAAAAUCAUAGGCAGUAUGUUGAGAUCUCCAUUACUUACCUAGUGUAUAUUUCUUGAAGUUAAUUGGUGUACAAAAUUUUCAUGACUUGCUGAUGGUGAUUCAGUUGGAACUUCUCAACAUCUUGGUUUGGUGUUCCAUAUCUAUAUGUAAAUCAACUACCCAGAAAGGUAGGAAGGUUGCAAAGAUGUUUUUAUAUCCAAACAUUUGGUCUUGGACUUGGAAAAAAAAACGAAGCUUCCAUGUAUUUUGUGUUAAUUGUAGCAUUACAUUGCCUUCUGAAUUCCAGGACUAAAAGAUUCAUGAAUUUUUUUUUUUUGUGCCCCAGAAACUUUGAAUCAGAGGACAGAAGAACAGUAAGGAGCAAUGCACCUUAUUCUUCAAAGUUCAAUGGCAAGAAGAACAGAAUUUUGUUUACAUAUUCCACUUAUUCAUCAAGGUGGUUUUCUUCUGGGGUGCCAUCAUCCAUGGUUUCUUCAGCUUAUUCUGAUCAAACCAAUAAUAAGAACGUGCCUCCUCCGGUUAAAGCUAUCAGUACCAAAAUGGAAUUCAAUCGGGUGAAUUGUCUUGUGUGGGUAUUGCAUGAGUCUGCUAGGAGCUUUUCCCACACGGUUGAAUCUUUUGAAUUGGCAAGAUGCGGUCCAGAGCUAGCAAUGGCUUGGGUGGGAGUUGAUGUGCAUGCCUGGCAUAAGCGCAUUGCCCAUCAGGUAUGCACUUACACAAAAACCAUUAGCACUAAGUGAUUAGGGUUCUUCCUCCAUAAACUGAUACAGAGUAUUAUGCUUGUACUUUUAUGACUUUCUUGUUGGCAAGAUAAAUUUAAAUAAGAAUUAUACCAUUGUGGUAGGACAGGUAGCAGUGUAUGCUUUGUUAAGAACUGCAAUUGAACUGGAAUUCUUCCUUUCUCAUGGACGCUGCAACAAUCCUUCUCUAGUUCGUGAGAUGUAAGUUCUAAAAUCGUCUUUUAGAAGUCUAAUGUUAAUGGAUUUGCUUUAGUCCUGGAAGUAGUAGUUGGUUAACUAGUGAAACUUGCACAUGCUAUGCCUGAAAACAUCUUUUUGAAGUUUUGUUUGAACUUCCAUACAUGUUGAUAUUCCAUCACUUGUGGCUCAGUUUUGAUGUCUCUUCCUCACUUCAAAGGCAAACGGUGAUUGCAACCUUGUAUGCUAGGACUAAAAUUUUGUUCCUUCAUUUCAUUCAGCUUGUCCCCAAUAAUAAACUCGAUCGAGCAGAACAUAGAAAGCCAGCUGAAGGCAAGGCACCCAAAAUUGGUUGAAUGGUUUAGAAUGGUGGAACUGCCACGUAUAGCGGGAUUUUUCAUUCCAUUGUUGAAGAAGUGGUCUAUGGAAUAUGCUGGAAGGUUAGCUCACAGAAUUCUCAGCUUUUAGUAUAACAUUGUUGAAUCUUGGACAAAUUCCCACUGCUUUUCCAGGUUUAUUUUUUCACCUAGUACCUUGAAUUGGGAAAAUAGUAUAAAACACAAUAAUUUUCAGUGGUGUUGCAGGGAUUAUUCUGGCUAUAAGCUGCUGUGUGGCAGUAGGAAAAUUGGGUUCUGGCCAUAUUUCCUGCCCCUUGUUUAUAUCGUCUAUUGAGGACGCAUUAAUAGAGCUCAUGAAUUUGUCACAUAGUCUUGUUUCAGUGGAUAAAUUGCACCAGUUAGCCACUGAGGCAGGUUUUGAACAGGAGUUCCUGUAUAAUUUUGGUACAAAGAUUCUGCCUAGCCAGAAAAGUGAAGAUGUAGAAUUUUGGAUUGGUUUGGCUCAGAAAAAACUCGCUAAAGCAAUUCGCAGAGAAAGUGUAUUUUCAGGCCUUCAGACUUUUCAAGACAAGGUCAGUUCAGUGAUUCAUGUAAUAACCUCCUGGCCUUUGUCAUGGACACUCUUGGACAAUCCCUAGAUAAUUUCAUUUUCAAUUUACUGAACCAUAAGAGUUUGUUCUAAAGGAUUCCAUCAAAGCUAAGUGUUCAAGUUCUACAGAAGCAAACAUAUAGUUAUCAUCCCAAAUGUCGAUCCCUCAUUCGGAAUUGUGAAUAUUUGAAUGCUAAGGGAAGUAUUUCUCAUGUUCUAAGCCCUGGUCUUACCUUUCUCUAUUAAUGGUUGACAGGUUCAAGAGAGUAAUUGUCUGGCUACUCUAGGAAUUUUUGCAUUUCUGGGAAGAAAAACAAGAUUAUUUUUGUUAGGAAUGGGAAUAAAGGAUCUUGAUGAGCAGGUUAAGGACUUCCUCAGGUACAUCACUCUGCAUUUUUUUUUUAUAACCCUUUUAAACUUCUCAACUUUAUCCUUAGACUCCAGUAGGUUCAAUGCUUUGAUUUCAGUUACUUGGAGUGUGGUAGCCUUUUCAUUUACCCCAAGUUUUCUUCACUCUCUGUGUAUCAACUUUUCAUGGAGGUCAGUUAGUUUCAACACACUUACAAUAGGGAAGGUAAUAUAUGAAAAUAUUCUAAUAUUCAAACUCUCUUUACAGGUAGUAGCUGAUGAAAUUGGAUGGCUUGAUUUUUAUGCUGCAUUUCCUUUGGGAUUCAAUCAAGAGAGAAGGAGGUCCAAACAGCAUGCCAUCCAAGCAGAGAAAGAGAUUAUUUUACAUACUGUUUUUACGGUUUGCUAUGAUGUUUUCUCUGGGUUUGCACAUUUCAGCAGUUCAACUCAGCAGCCCUUAAAUGCAGACUUGUUGGCAUUCUUGCUCCGAAGGUAGUAAGCAUAAUCUCAAUUUUAAAUUUUCUUUCCUGGAGUUGCCAUGAUUGUUGAUUUAUUUUACUUUUUAUAUUUUUUUCAGUCAAAGCCUGCUUACUAGUUGUCUGGAAGACUACUGGGCUGCCUAUGAUAGAUCAGGGUAUGAUAAUGCCGAUUUCUCAAGCAGUCAGCUGCAGAAGAUUGCAGAAAGAAAUGCCCUUGACCAAACACAAUCCAGUGGAACUAAAGACACUACAAGUUCAUCAGUAACCUUGGAUGCACAACAGAAGGUGACUGACUUAAUGGCAAGGAGAAAUCCAGAAAAAAUACCUCAGUCUGGGAAUAAACUGAGCAAGGUAUGAGUCCUCAGUGGAUAGAUGGACCCAACAACAACUGUGAAACACCAUUCUGAAAUUAUUCUUUGUAAAUAAGUGACUGCACUACACAAUUUUAGGCAACAAUUACAAUAAUUUGCUGCUGGCAGGCUAGCUGCAAAGUGGGGACAGAGACAAGAACCCUGGUGGAGGCAGGAAGGACAGCUGAAUCAGAGGCUCUGCAUCAAAAUUUACUCAGGAAAUCCAGCAUGAAGUUGAUAUCUACAAGCUCUGUAAGUCCAAUGAUCAUCUGACUCGAUGAUUAGUAAAAAAAAACCAUCUCAAAGUUCAGAUGCUAAUGCUUCAAAUUGAACUGUGUUUAAGGAUAUAUGGAUGGGCACUCAGCUGCUCUUCAUAGACAUCAUGGCUUCUCUGGAGCUUCUACUAAAGCAAAUGCGUGGCCGCAGGGUUACAGAAAGGGAAAGAAAGAAGCUAAAACAAACACUAGCUGAUAUUGCUUCACUUAUCCCAGUUACAAUUCUAAUGCUACUCCCUGUAAUCACCUACUCAUCAACUCUUUAUUCUCCAAUUUUUUAUCUUUCAUCAUUGGCUGAAGUAGCAGUUGGCUUUCUCUUUUCAUAUCCAUGUUUGUGACUUUUGAUCAGACAAAAUGAAUUAUAAUUGCCAUAGAAGACAAUUUAUCUGGGCUUGCAUCAACUGUCAAAAUAAUUAUAAGAGAGGUGCUUUAAAAUCCUUUUAUCUUUUUCUGUGAUCCAGGUAUCUGUUGUAGGGCAUGCGGCCAUCUUAGCAGCUAUAAAGAAGUACAUGCCAUCCUUGGUAAUUCUUGUCACCCUUUCCCUCACAUUUAUGGUCUUAUCCUUUCUUUCUGCUUAUCCUGUUUCAUUGAUGAUACCGGAUAUUAGAUCCCAUCUCCAUAUUCCUCCGAGCGACUGGAUGUUGUAAAACAACUGAAAAGAAGCAAGAAGAUGGAAGUUCAGACACUGAGCAACCAAGAGGAUGCAUCCUCUGCUAUCUCUCAAAAAUAAAUGGUUGAUGCUAACGUGUUGUCCAUUGAUCACUUGAACAUGACAUGUAUACAUUUCUAUGAACAUGUGGAUGCUUACAUAUAUUCAUUGGUGAUGAUCAAAUUCGUAGUGUCAAGACAAAUAAUUCUAUUAUUCUAAAGUAGAUUUUGCUUAAACAAAUAACUUUAGGUAUUGUUCACUAGGAUGACGAAUAUAUUUGGUAAUUAAGAAAGAAUAUCGUGUGAAUCGAGAUGGCGAUGAUAAAAAAGGGAGACGGUGAAAAAUCAUAUAUGAGAUUUGAAACAAAAUAUAUUAAUGAAAAAACACUAAGAUUUCAAAUUCAUUAGAAAUCAAUUUCGAUAUUAAAAAAGUUAAUAAGAUGUAUAAUUUAUCAAGUUAGGUUGAACCGUUGAAGACCUUAAAAUGUCAUCUAAAUUGAUAUUUAAUUUAACUUUAAAUUUAAAUCCAUUAAAAUCUCAAAUUAUGAAUCUUAAUUGCUUCGAUCAAUUAUUCACAAUUAAGCUCAAUUUAUCUUUAAUUACCUUCUAAUAGAUCUUAUAAUGACUCUUUAUGAUUUCAUCUUAUCAAUAUUAAAUAUUUGGCAAAUUGAUUAAGAUUAUUAUAUUCUUUAUUAAAGGAAAUUAAAAGAUAUUAUUUUUCUCAAGUUAAUCAAUUUAUUCAAGACUACCUUUCAAUCUUAGUUUCAAGCUAUUAAUUCAUCAUGUAUCUUGACUCUAAAUCCUUCCUCCUUUGAUAAAAAUAAAAUCUAGUCACUCAUGUUUGAGAGAUUUAUUACAAAAAAAAUUUAUUAAUAAAAAGAAAAUGUCAAAAAAAUUUAUUACAAAACUUCAUUUUUAAAAGAUAUAAAAAUGGUCAAAAGAUUCAAAAAAAAAAAACUAAAAGAUAAAAAAACUAAAAUGAAAGUUUCUUAUAAGCCAUUUGAUCUGUUAGCAAGUAUAUGUGAAAUUUCCAUGAUCAUAUGCAAUGAUGAAAAUAUUAGUUUUUACUAAAAUAUACAAAAUAAAUAUCACUAAGAUGAGAUUAAAUUGAUAAUAAUACAUAUUAUAUAUAUAUAUAUAUAUAUAUAUAUAAUAUAUUUUGUGACUUUAAGUAAUAAUUUUGUCUUAAAAAUAUAUUUAAAAUAAUUAAUUUGAAUAUGCUUAAGAAUAUAUAUCCACAUAGCAAGGGAGAUUUGCCUUCAAGUUCUAAUCUCUUCCAAAUUUGUAGUUUGGACUCCUUUGGCAUGAUAAUAAGAAAUUGCAAUUUCUUCUCUUUUAAGCAUUUUUCAAUCUUCACCCAAGCUAUCUCUUCUCUAUCUAACAAUUUUCAAUCUUCUUACUAGACAAAUAGACUUCAAAUCAUGAGAACUUAAUGCCUUAAUAUUUGUAAACACGUUUAUUAAUUUUUAGCAUAUAAUUUGGAAUUCAAGAAAUAAUCCAAUUACCACUAAAAAGUACAAACUAAAACUAGUUCAAAAUUAAUAUUAUUUCUUCUCUAUACUCCAUUAUAUUUGUUAUAAAAUUUUAAACUAAACGAAUGAACUUCAAAUAAUGCAUUAGAUCUAUUAAUGAGUAAAUUUUUAAAAAUACUUUGGAACUAAAAAAUAUGCCCAAUAAAUACCAAAAAGUGAAAGACCAAAACUAAUUUAGAAUGAGUCACAACUUUAUUAGUGCAUGUAAUUAUACUUUUAUGAAUUUUUUCGUUAAAAGCAAAUAAAUUCAAAGUGAAGUGAGAUUUAAUGUUUUAAUUUUUUUUAAAUAAAUCUAUUAAUUUUUAAAAAUAAUAUGAAAUAUGAAAAAUUUAUCCAAUUAAUUACAUAUUGAAUCAAAAUUAGUUUAAAAUACUGUGUAUGAGCACUAAAUAUUUAUAUACAACGAAAAUUUUCACUUAUGUAUAAAAAAGGUUAUUGUCAGUUUUGAUUUUUCUAUUGAAAUCUUUAUAUUUAGUUUGGAUCAUGAAAAUACAUAAGCAAAGGGGAAAACACAUCAUUCAUGCAACUUACAAGUCACUGAGUUCAAAAGAAAGGAUAAGAAUUGAAAAUGGAGCUUCAAUGAUGAAAGCAAACAGUAGGGGCACUAACAUGGAAAAGAUGAAAAAGAAGAAAAAGUGGUGGAACCCAACAUAAAGUAAACAUCUCCUUUACAGGCUGUUGGCCACAAUUUAUUGCCUGCUAAAAUGUCUUGCAUAAUCCAUGAAAUUAAUGUUCGUCUAGUCUCCACAAUUAUAGCUGCAAAAAAUUUUUUUCUGGGUGCCAAAAAUCUCUCUUAACAGUUGAUGUUCAGGUAUCCAGAAAAUUAAUCAUAAUUACCAAAAGGAGCAGAGCAUGACUGGUCGAAUCUUUUCGGGCUAAGAAUGAAAAAAGAAGAAGAAAGCAGCAUAUGUGGGACAGGAGAACCAACACUCCCAUCUAUCUCUUUGGAUUCCCAUUACAAAUUGUCUACCACAAUGACCCACCAACGCGUCUUGCAUAAUCUACCCACGAAAAAGUUUUGAUGUGGGAAUCUUUUUUCUUUCUUUUUUUCUUUUCUUUUUUGGUGGGCUGUUAAGCAACUGUUAUUCAUCAGAUCCAUUACGGCAACUCACCCAUCUCCUCUUUUGAGUUCUUCAGUUGUCUUUCAAACUCAUCUUUUUCCUGUCAUCCCCUGAAGCAAUGGAUUGUGUGAGCCCAAUCCUGGACGUCGCCACCUGCUUGUGGGAUUGCACCGCCAAGAGAGCAGUUUAUAUUCGUAAGCUUGAAGAAAAUCUCAAGUCUUUGGAGAGCUCAACGGAGGAACUGCGCAACUUAAGUGAGGAUGUGAUGGGAAGAGUCGAGCGUGAGGAGCAACUACAGAGUAGGCGUACGCAUGAAGUGGAUGGUUGGCUCCGCGCUGUACAGGCCAUGGAAGCUGAAGUGGAAGAAAUAUUGCAAAAUGGGGAUCAAGAAAUCCAACAGAAAUGUCUCGGAACCUGUCCUAAGAAUUGCAGGUCAAGCUACAAGCUGGGGAAGAUUGUGAGAAGAAAGAUCGAUGCUGUGACUGAAUUAAAGGGCAAAGGGCAUUUUGAUUUUGUGGCUCAUAGUUUGCCUUGUGCUCCGGUGGAUGAGAGACCGAUGGGGAAAACUAUGGGCUUAGACUUGAUGUUCGAGAAGGUUCGGAGAUGCCUGGAAGAUGAGCAAGUAAGAAGUAUUGGGUUGUAUGGAAUUGGGGGUGUUGGAAAAACGACCCUCUUGCAGAAAAUCAAUAAUGAGUAUUUUGGUAAAAGAAACGAUUUUGAUGUUGUGAUGUGGAUAGUGGUGUCGAAACCAAUCAACAUAGGAAAUAUUCAAGACGUGAUCCUAAAUAAAUUAACGGCCCCAGAUGACAAAUGGAAGAAUCGAAGCAAGGAAGAGAAGGCUGCAGAAAUAUGCAAGUUGUUGAAAUCCAAAAACUUUGUGAUAUUGCUUGAUGAUAUGUGGGACCGACUCAAUCUCUUGGAGGUGGGGAUCCCUGAUUUGAGUGAUCAAACUAAGUCCAAAGUAGUACUCACUACCCGAUCUGAACGAGUAUGCGAUGAAAUGGAGGUUCAUAAGAGGAUGAAGGUAGAGUGUUUGACACGGGAUGAAGCGUUUUCUCUGUUUCGCGACAAGGUUGGUGAGAAUAUCUUGAAUUCACAUCCAGAUAUAAAAAGGCUUGCUAAGAUUGUUGUUGAGGAAUGCAAAGGAUUGCCGCUUGCCCUCAUCGUCAUCGGGCGAGCAAUGGCUAGCAGGAAAACUCCUCAAGAAUGGGAGCAAGCAAUACAAGUGUUGAAGAGUUACCCAGCAAAGUUUUCAGGUAUGGGAGAUCAAGUAUUUCCGAUUUUGAAAUUCAGUUACGAUCACUUGGACAAUGACACCACCAAAUCAUGUUUCCUAUAUUGUUCGCUAUUCCCUGAAGACCAUAAAAUUUGGAUUGAAGACCUCAUAGAUCUUUGGAUCGGGGAGGGGUUUAUGGACAAAUUUGUUGAUAUAUAUGAAGCACGCAACCAAGGAGAGGAGAUUAUUAGAAGCUUAAAACUUGCAUGUCUCUUGGAAGGUGGUGUAUCGGAACACACUUGUAAGAUGCAUGAUGUGAUCCGUGACAUGGCUCUAUGGUUAUCAUGUGAUUAUGGGGAAGAGAAACACAAAAGUUUUGUACUAGAUCAUGGUCAAUUGAUUGAAGCAUAUGAAACUGUGAAAUGGAAAGAAGCUCAACGGAUUUCACUAUGGUAUUCUAAUAUCAAUGAAGGACUCUCUCUAUCACCCUGUUUCCUCAAUCUCCGAACUUUGAUUUUGAGAAAUAGUAACAUGAAGUCACUUCCAAUUGGAUUCUUCCAAUUCAUGCCUGUCAUAAGAGUUUUGGAUUUGUCGUACAAUGCAAAUUUAGUGGAGUUACCUCUGGAGAUUUGUAGAUUAGAGAGUUUGGAAUUUCUUAAUCUAGCAAGGACGGGUAUAAAAAAGAUGCCUAUAGAGCUGAAGAAUUUGACAAAACUGAGGUGUUUGAUAUUAGACAAUAUAUGGAAGCUUGAAGUAAUUCCACCAAACGUGAUAUCUUGCCUUUCAAAUUUGCAGAUGUUUAGGAUGCAAUUAUUAAACAUUGAAAAGGAUAUUAAGGAAUAUGAGGAAGUUGGAGAGUUGCAGGAGUUGGAGUGCUUGCAAUACCUGAGUUGGAUAAGUAUCACGUUACGUACAAUCCCAGCUGUUCAAAAAUAUCUCACCUCCUUGAUGCUGCAGAAGUGCGUACGACAUUUAGCGAUGGGCAACUGCCCAGGUUUGCAGGUGGUGGAGUUGCCACUUUCAACUUUGCAAAGACUCACUGUGCUUGAAUUUCAAGGCUGUUAUGAUUUGGAACGUGUUAAAAUAAAUAUGGGACUGUCUCGAGGUCAUAUCUCAAACUCAAACUUCCACAACCUUGUUAAGGUGUUUAUUAACGGGUGUCAAUUCUUGGACUUGACCUGGCUUAUUUAUGCUCCAAGCCUUGAGUUGCUGUGCGUUGAAGACAAUCCUGCAAUGGAAGAAAUUAUAGGGAGUGAUGAGUGUGGAGACUCAGAAAUUGACCAACAAAAUCUCAGCAUAUUCUCAAGACUUGUGGUGUUAUGGUUACGUGGUCUCCCAAAUCUAAAGAGUAUCUACAAGCAGGCCUUGCCAUUUCCUUCCCUCAAAGAGAUCCAUGUGGCUGGUUGUCCAAAUCUAAGGAAAUUGCCAUUGAAUUCCAAUAGUGCCACCAACACUUUAAAAGAAAUUGAGGCGCAUCGAAGCUGGUGGGAGGAGUUGGAGAGGGAGGAUGACAACCUCAAGCGCACUUUCACUUCGUAUCUUAAAAUAUGAACGUGGUGAUUCAAAGGAGGAGAUGGUUCUAGAGUUGUAUGUCAUGGAGGUUUGCAGGAAUUGUUGGGUUUCCUUCACUUCCUUUAAUUUCCUCCCUGUUUUGUGAGAAAUCCAUUGGUCUUCCUCUGCCAGGUACAUUUUUCGUUUUUGCUUCCAUUUGUUUAAUGUUAUGAGAGAUGUUUUAAUGCAACGAAGAAUUGUGAAAGAGGUGAGAUUCUCAUGAUAGGCAAAUGAAUGAUUGUUUUUGUAGGACAAGUUGGUGGUGGGUGAUUGGAUGCUGGGAAUGCAUAGCAAGAAUAGCAUAAAUAAUUGUUGAAAAGAAAGAACCUUUCGUAUGGUGAUCAAUUUCCUAUGUUUCUAUUGCCUCAUGUGUUUUAUCUAUAAAAUUUGACCAUUCUUAGCUUAAGUUUUUUGCAUUGAAAUAUUCUGAAUAUUAUCUUAAGGCAAAAACGUCUUAUAGUGUGUGAUCGCUUGGGUGGGGUGAAUAAAUACCUCUCCAAUUUAAAAAGUUUUGCAUUUUUUGAUUCAAUUAUAAGAUUUUGCUUACCCUAAACAUAAUUCUCUUUUAGAAUUUAAUAUUAUUUAUAAAAAAAAAAAAAAAAAAACAAGUGUAAGGAUUAAAUUAAGCUAUGGGUGAAAGUAGAUGAGUGAUUUUCUGUAAUUUAAUCUAAGUAGAUGAGUGAUUUCCAAUAAUUUAAUCUACUUUUUAUUUAUAUAAUUUUAUUUUUUAUUUUUUUGGGAAAAUAAAAUAAUAAAAAUUCAUAAUUAUAUAAAAACAAAAUAAAAUUAUUUUUGAUGAUUUUUAGUAAUUUUUUUAUGAGCUUGGAAAAUUUCAUUACAUUAUAUCAAUAUUAUUGGUUUGGUAAAAAAAAUGGAAUAGGUGAAAAUGAAGUGUCACUUUCCUUCUUCACAAUUUUUAAGAAAAUUAAUGAAGUAAAGAAAAUUCAUAGUUAAAAUAAUUUUAAAUUGUUUUAAAAGUUAUGAUUGUAAUAAAAUCGAAACAUACUUCAUCUUUUUUCAGUGAAAUUUAACAUUUUAAAUUUAUUAGCUUUUAUUUACUUACAUGUAAUAAAAUGUAGGCACCACCUUAAAAAAAUAAUGACUUAAAAAAAGUUAAGAUGCUAAAAAAAAUUAUUAUUUCAAAAUUUAAAUUUGUAAAGGCAUAAUCCAAAUUUGUAAAAAUUAAAAUUUUAUAAUUUUUUAAAUUGUGAUUUAAAAAAAUCAAAAAUUAAAAUACAACCAAACAAACCCACAAUCAAAAUUGACAUUUUUCUUACUUUUUAGUCUCCCUUCCUUUUAAAGCUUUGCAUUUGACCUAGUGCCUGGAAGUAUACCUUAUCUUUUUUUCAGUGAAAUUUAAUAUUUUAAAUUUAUUAGCAUUUAAUUACAUGUUUGUCUUUUAAAAUUUAUUUAUUUGAACAUGUUAAAGCAUAGAAAAACUUCUUACUUUAAUUUUAAUAUUUAAUUUAUGAAAUUCAAAAUCAUUUACAAUAUUUAUGAAAUAUUUAUUUGUUAUUAUUUAGCACUAAGAAAUAAUGGUGAUUUUCUUAUUCUUUAUUGUUACCUGGUUUACAUCAUUUUUUAACUUCAGAAAAUAUAGACUCUAUCUAAAAAUUGACUCAACUUUUGACUAAUUGUUUGUAUGUUAUAUUUACUUGUGCCGUGAUUAAAAAGGUUUAGGGGUGCAACUUGUCUAAAUUGACCCAACCUAAUUUGAAUCUAAUUCCCAGGUUUGAACAAUUAUUUUCAAUACUUAAGUUGAAUUUGAGUUAGAUUUUUUCAUCACAAACCAAUUUAGAUUGAGUUCAGGUCAAGAUUCAAAUAACUCAAGUCUUACUUACAACCAAUUUAAUGUUUUUAUUUUAUUUAUAAUACAAAAUAUUUUAUAUGAUAAUAUUUGUUUUCUUUUUAGAUGUUUAAGAAAAAAUAUCAAAUUAUAUUAAAUCAAACUUUCAUUUUUUUAGAAUAAAAAUUUGUCUUUAUUUACUAUCGAUCCUAGUCUAACCCAACCAAAAAUAUCACUUUUUUAUUUUUUUUUUUAGAAUGAAAUUUUGCUUUAUUUACUACUAAUCCAAGCCUAACCCAAUCAACCAGACCAAAUUAACAUAAAUGAUGUUAGGUUGGACUUAAGUUGAAUAUCUUGAGUUAAAAUUGGUUUAGGUAAGACUUAAGUUGAAUAUCUUGAGUUAAACAUUGGUUUUGGUUGAACUCAAAUUGAUUAUUUCCUAAUUCAGACUAGACUCGGAUUAAUCAUCAAUCCUAUCAACUCGCUCAAAUUACAAACUAAUUAAAUUUUAUUUUUGGGUAGCCCAAAAUCAAAAUAGUAAUAAUAAUGACCCAUGCCUUUCUACGUAGGGCAAGAUGUCCCAUAGAUAGAACCAAAAUUUGUUAGUUACUCCAAAAUAAAAGUUUGUUAUACUUUGAUUGCAUAAAAGUAUUAUCUAAUAUCUUUUCCCUUUCCUUUUUCAAUCACAUUUUGAAAUUUUAACAGUGAUCAAGAAAUUUCACCGGUGAUUAAGGAAUUUUAACGUUUGGAUGGCAUCAAAAUCAAAAUAGUAAUAAUAAACCAAUGCCUUUGGUUUGUACGGCAACAUGUCCCAUAAAUUUGAACCAAAACCUGUUAAUAACUGCAACAUAAAAAGAUGAUUAUGCUUUGAUUGCUUCAAAGUAUUAUCCAAUAUCUUUUUCCGCUUUUUUUCAAUCACAUUUGAACCUGAUUUACAUCGACAAAUUGCAAGGAAAGUCGAAAGAAACAAGUGACUCAAUAAUCUAAUCAAAUAAUAGAUUGGGUCUGAAAGUGUGUUGAAUCAACAUAAAAACAGAUCCCUCAAUCCAACAAAUGUAUCUACCACAAGCAUUCCUCAUAGAAGAAAGGUUAUAAAGAAACAACUCUACAAAUCCAUUACAAUGUAAAGAAAAGCAAGGAGUGCCUCCACUUACAGAAUACCCAAAGUUGAGAAACCAAACUUACACAACCACAUUCUCUCACUCUUCUUCCAUCUUCCACUACACCACAAAUCUGCAAUUUUUCCACUCUCUUUCCUUUUCAGUUGUGGGAUUUUCCCCGUUUUAUAAGUUACAGUCCUAUUUUCAUUGAAACAUGACUCUUUUAACAUCUCCAGAUGUCCCAUUAUUGCAAAAGAAUUCAGCUUCUCAGUUGAAAGAAAAUAACCAGCUGCGAUAUACUUGCCUAAAAAUAAACAUGUCAUCAUUGACGUGUUCAGCGUAAGAGCUCCAAUUCAAAUCACCCUCUUUGGAUCUCGAGCAGCAGCCAGAUGAUCCUGCAGAACAGAUGGAGAGUAGCACAGCAUGCAUGAUAUCAGUAAUACAGAUCGAAAUGCUGCACAAUAUUUCUCUGAGAAAGUGAUGGAAGGAUUUCGUCCUUCUAAUUUCUAGUGCAUGUAUCAAGUGCCUGCUCUACUGCAGCAUCAUCCCAACCCAUCCCACUGAAAAUAAUAAUAAUAAAUAAAUAACUGGUAGCGAAAAGGUAGGUCAAAAACUUACAGAGAUAAAAUCAAAUGCUUUUGUCUCCUCUUUCUUUGAACUGGUCAUUACUGCAGUGGGACUUUGAGUAGGAAUAUGUGGAUGAAAAAUGUCAGGGAGGGGUGAAGAAUAUCCUCCUUCCAUUGUUCCACCAGCAUGACCCAUGCCAGCACUUUGAGAAGUCAGGUUCCCCAGCUGCUGAAAGUUGGACAUUGCUGCUAGGAACUGCUGCUGGGCAAAGAAAUUCCCCAUGGCACCAUAAUUCAUUGGUUGAGAAGGAAAAGCUGGAUUGAACAUAAUGCCUGGAGGGAUAUUAUAGGGCAUUGAACCCAAAGGAAACAUGGCAUUUGCAUUCAUGCCAGCCGUUUCAGAACCAAAACCAUUCAAAGCAUCAUUGGAGACUUGCUUGGGGGAGUAACUAUUUGAAUCUGAGAACACAGUCUCAGAGAGUGCCCCAGGAAGCAUUCCUUUCUGUGUCGUAUUUGAGACAUUUCCAUUAAUGGAUAAACCAGCCAUUAAAUCAUUAACAUCCUUUUUAUGAUUUUCUUGCUCCUGAGGAAGUUCAGCAUUUGACCCAAAAAUAUCAAAUAGUUCAGGUUCAUUACUAGUUGCUGCCUUAGGAAUCUCAUUAGCACCCACUUUAUCAUCAACAGUCAUUCCUGAAAAGAGGUCAUCUACCUGUUCUCUAGCCUCGCCACUGAGAAAUGAGACAUCUGCAAAGGGAUCGUCAUCAUUUUUUUGUUCACCAGUGUUCUCACUAACACCAAGACCAUCUCCAAAUAAAUCAUCAAUUAGAGGGCUGGUUGAUGUUGUCAAAUUUGGUACACUUUGAUCACUUUGGGUUUUUAUAGAAUCUUCUGCCCCAUAGUAAUCAUCUGGACCACCAGUGUCUAUUAAGUCAGGCAUCUGAACUGCAGGCACUGUCUCAGUCUUCAGUGGCUUUUCAGGAGGGCUCAUUGUGCUGCCUGUUUGCUCUCCACCCAAAAGGCUUAACACCUGUCAAUUAAAAUCCAAAUGUCAACCACAAAAUGUACUCCGAGGAUUCAUGGAAGUGAGUUUCUGGCCCCACUAUAGGUUUUCUUAUUCAAUGUUUUAGAUCAGGUAUAAAGUCAUCAGGAAGACAAAUUUUGCCUCAUUAAGAAAAAAAGAAUGAAAACAAAAAUGAAGCAUGAUACAUCUUGCAAGAAUGCCCCACCCAGUGUGUGGAUUUCCUUUGAGAUAGAAAACUUGUACAAUAAUUCCUGAAUCAGACUCAACUUUCAAUCAAGAGACUAAAACAUGCAAGAAAAUUUAGAAAGAGAAGUGGGAAAACUAAUUUUUUUAGGAAUCUGAAAGACAAAAUUAGAAAAUAAUGGCUUUAUCACAGAGGCAGCAAGUAAAGCUAAUGCAACAUUUUGAACUCUUGAUUUUUUUCCCUUAAUAUAGAACUUGAUUGUUGAUAUUUUCAAAUUGCAAAUGUGAAAUUUGUACAGGCCUUGUUACCUAAAGAGGCAAUUGUUAGUCAGUCACUAUUUCAUAGUCAGCCAGAAACUUUUGUAACCAUUUCAAUGAUUCUGAGCUUUACCUGGUUGAAUAGUUGGUCAAUGAGAUUAUCAAUGAAUUCAAGUUAUUCAAAACCCAGUUAGCUUUAGCACAAUUAUUUUACCAUGUUCAAUGUCAUUCACUGCUAUGCAUGGACCCCAACUAUCAUGGAAAUUAUUAUUCCAUUUCCUACUACUAAUCAAGAAAUUCAAUUUGGUGAUAGAAACUCAAAAGACUGGCAUCACUCCCACAACCUACCAAUAUACUCAACAAAAGACAAGCAUCCCUCCUAUAAGGAUUCAUGAAACAACCUCAAAAUUUAUCAAACAAAGAGGCCAACUGACAACUUAAAGACAGAGAACUAAAGAAGAGAGAGAGAGAGAGAGAGAGAGAGAGAGAGAGAGAGAGCAGAUCUAGCCUCAACGAUUGAUAAUUCUUCAAUAGCGAUUUUUCAGUAUAAUCUGAAUUUACCCCUCCUUCCACUAUUAUAUGUUACUAGUCCUCCAAAAUUCUCCAUAUCUCCCUUUGUAUUUCAUUUUUCUUUUACUUUUUAAAAAUAAGUAAAAAUACUUACAUGCCUUUAGCCAUCAUAACUACAAACCAAACAAUUCUAUCACUAAGAAUUCUGAACGCCUAACACCAUAUCAUCUUAUUAAAGACAUGCAAACAUCUAUUAUUUCCUUUUCCUGUUAAAAGGGAAGAGAAGAAAAAUGAACCUCAAAAUACAUUUCUAACGUAAAGAAAUUUACCUUGUUUGCCUUUUCCCUCAGUGAAGCUUGGGGAGACUCGCAACAUUUCAACACAACAUCUUUGUUUUCACAAAAAUAAGAUGCUACAGUUGAAAACUGUUCUUCAUCCUUUUUCCUCAAAAUUGAGUCAAGCACACAAACAGCUUUCAUCCGCACCUGACAGGAAGGCAGUACUGUACUAAUCAAAAAUGAAAAUAAAAAAAAAUGGGUAUGCAUUCAUUUCAUUUGAAUAUUGAUUGCUAGAAAAAUUGCACCAUGUUUGUUUUAAAAUCAUUUUUAGACACCAAACCAUAGGAAUUUCAAACCAGUUUAAAUGUUUAAUGUUGAAUUAAAAACCUCCACAAGAAAAUUUUGUUUGUGGAAGGGCAUAUAGUAACCAGUAUAUCAAUAUAAGGAACAUACCUGCCACAGAGGAGAAUGGAGCUUUGAUUCAAGGGCAUGACUUAACGCCAAAGCAUCCAACUUUGCAGCUUCUAUGAGGAAAAUCUGAAUAGCAUCUCGAGUGGGCUGCAGACGUACACCUCCUGAUGUCACUAUUGUUUCCAAUAAUCUCUCCUCACGGGUCUUACUCUCAGCAAAGCUUGAACUGGAGUCUCCGUUGGUAGUUUCUGACUUGGUUAUUCGUACAUCCUGGUUCCAAGGCCCACCAGAAACAUUCUUUGAGCUGCCAAAACUACUUUGGGUUUCAUUUUGAUGUUCAACUCCUUCAUAUCUAUCUUGGUACUCAAUUUCUGUAGUCAAUGACCUUCGAAGAUUUGGACUCUUGUAGCUUCCAUUAUCAUUCUUCCUUAGCGAAUGACCUUGUGUGAUACUACUAAUUCCCUGUUUGAUAGAUGUACUUCCAAGACCAACUACCUCACUGAGAAAUGAUUUCUUAUCUUCUGAUGGCAUCUCAUAGUUUGUAUUCCCAAAACCUUGAAUUCGUCUAUUAAGAUCUUCUGAAGGUGCUGGCUUAUUUUCCUCUGCAGCAAAGAUAGCAGAGAUAGUUUCUUGAGCCGUGUCUCGAACAGCCUUAUUAAGGGCAUCCCCCUUCAAAGCAUCUAACUGGCCCUUGUAAUGGAGUAACUGUCGCACAGCCACUGAGUGUCUUUGCAUUUCCCUUCUAAACUCCACACCUGACUUUCCCACCGCAUAUUUAAUCAGCCUUAGAGCCUGUACAAUAUUCAAGAAAAAUACAAACCAACAUGACUUAUAACUCAACGGAAAAAGCCAAAAUACAUUUCUUAUGAUGGCUGUACAAUAAUCCAUAAAAACUAAUAUGGAAAAGAGCACUACUGAGAUGAACUGUCACAGUUGUCAGUCAUUUUUCUUCAAAGUGAAAAAGAGAAACAAUGAGGCAUAGGCUUUAUGAAUUUCCAUUAUAACUUGUUUGUUUACACUAUCCUAAAACUCAACUGCUCCAUAUCUGCGUGACAUGCUAACCCAGAACCAAGGCCCAGUUUGGGUCUAUGAAAGUGCAGGCAGAAGGAAAGGAAAAUGGUUAAAAUUACUAAAAAAUUGCUUCAUUUCUAAAGACAUUUCAGCAUUUUCCUUCCCUUUCCCUCAUUCUUUUCAAGAUCCAAAUAAAUGCCUAAACUUUUCUGGUUUAAACAAUUGUAAAGGGUAUAAAAAUGAAUAUAUUUUGCAAUACCGGUACCCUGUAAAUUUUUACAUCUUAAUCCAGCUUGGCAGCCUAGAAAAUGCAGGGAAAUCAAAACAGAUCAAAAUUUUGCAUCUUAUAGUUUUUUUAUUCACAAGCCGUCACCGGACUGAACCCAAUGCAGCAAUUUGAUUUAAUUAACAUAAGCCCAUCAACUUUCAGAUACCAAAACAAAACGAAAUCCAAUACGAAAAUUAGAAUUCCUUACGGUCCCUGCAGUUUCUCAUCACCCAAAUAGAAAGCUGACUCUCCAUUAAUUAAAAAACAGAGUUUUCAACUAUCAAGAUCCACCAAAUCCCAGUUCCCAGCCUAUCAAUUUAUAACAAUUAACACGAGGCAGAGAAUCCAGAAUUCCAUACCUUCUGUCUAACAACUGGGCUCUUAUGAUCGAGCCGUUUCAAAAUAAACUCAGAGACUUCCUUCACAAUACUAACAUGCGAAGACCGAAGGAGCUCGCAAAUCUCUUCUAAUUUGUAAACAGGCGUGACCUUGUCUUCGUCAGACGUUGCUCCAUCAAUCAUUCGCGAUCUCCAGUACGAUUCCACAGCUCUCCUGCUCGAAUCCAUCCCUCAAACCCCCUCAAAAAAACUCUAAUCUCUAGAAACUAAUGAAUCUUGACCCAAUUCAAAACCCUAGAAACACAAACCCCAGGAAAGAUCAUGCAUGUGCCAAUACAGAAUUGGGAGUUUCAGAUCGAAUCACAACCGUACAAAACCAGGAAUAUUCAAGAAAAAGGCACCGAUUUGAUGGAAUAAUCGAAAUGAUUCGAUGGAAUGAUCAAAACCAUCGGACUAUAGGGGCUGAUGCACACAAUUGGAGGAUUUGGGUGGAUGAAAAUUAGGGUUUAUGAGGGAGUUAAAAGAGAGUUUCAGAAAGAUAUGGAGAGAAAUGGGGGUUUGAUGAUGGGAGAGGGGAAGAAAGGGUUCACAAAAUGCAGACAGGUCUGGGAAUUGAGUCACCGAUCUGUUGUUUACGUCAAGAGUUUGGUUUCUUCCACCCGCGUACGUUAGCACUCGCGGCCCCAAAUAGUGGUUUUGGACCUCAUAGGUUAGAAAUUGAGUCGAAAUUUUUAUUUACAUUUUCUCAAAAUAGAAACUUCGAAAAUAAUAUAAAUUAAAAUUUUAUUUUUUUAAAAAAAUACAAUCAAUUUUAUACUAGACUUGAUAUAACAUACACACCAUUGUGUAAUUAUACCCAUCAUUUAAGUAUUGAAAAUAACAAAAUCACAUUGAUAACAUUUUUAACAUUUUCCUAUUUUAUUUUAUAUAUAUAAUAUUUUUUAAAAGAAAUUUAAAAUAUUUUUAAUUUAUUUUUAAAAUUUUUAAAAAUAAAUUUUAUGUUUAAUAUUUUAUUUAUUUGAUUACUUCAAACUUAUUUUACUUAUUUUAACUCUUUAAUAUAAAAUUUAAAUAAUUUAAAUAUAUAUAAAUUUUAAUAAAUGCAACCAUACUUUUUUUUUUUUUUCUUAAAACAAAACCUAUUCUAAAGUGGUAAGAAGAUGAUCCACAGAAGUGCAAUCUCAAAAUGUCAAAUGCCAUUACAGUCAACAUCCCACUACCACUCCUGUUGAUUGCUUUGAGCAUGGAGUCUACUCAUCAUAUAUUCAUAUUCCCUGAUAUUCAUGUUGUGAAUGAUACCAAAUACUGAAAGGCCCCCUACCAAAAAGGGACACAACCCAGAUGCAGAGAGAAGUAUACAAGCAGCACAUAGAAUCAAAACCUUACAGAACGCAAAUUUCCAUCAACAUGAUGAAGAAUACGCUAAUUAUAUUGAUGAUUGAAUCAUUUUUCUCUUUUGUUAAGAGGCCAAACCUGCAGAAAUUACAUCAUCCAGUUCGUCAACAGUCAUCUCAUUCCUAAAGAGGAGUUUAAGGUAUGGAAGAACUUUUGGGAGGACAGGCAAAUCUGCCAUGUUAACACUCAUCAGGUCGAAGGCAAUGCAUGUUUUGUGCAUAUGGGCAUCAUCAAAAACUGGAAUUUUUGGGUAUCUUUGGCUGAAGUGGGUAAGGAUGAUCCGGUAUGCGCCAGCAGAGUUCCCAACUUCGAUUGCUUCAUUUGUUGUGCUGUGGUUUCUUGCUAUUGCCUCAUCCACCAUCCCCUCCUCAAAAGUUGCCUGCAACAAUCACAAGAACAAGGUGGUCAAUCAUAUUUUUCCUUUCUUUUGCCUCCCUUUUUACCAACAAAGGUUGAACAUGGUCCUUCACCUUAAUAAUUAAUAUUUUAAAUCAUGUCAUAACCUUGUUAUGAAAUCUCUAUAACAAAAAAACCAUGUAGACAUCGAGAAAUCAUUCCAAAGCAACAUAACUCUAGGUAUCAAAUCUAAGCUUCUUCCUAGAACCCUAGGUUGACAAUUAUGUCAGAGGUAAUAGUCUUCAUAAAAUUCUGUUAUAUUACUUAAAGAAGAAAAUGAAAUCUAAAAAAUAUUAUAUUAUGAGAUGAAAAAACACAAAUUCUUGUGAAAACUUGCCUCGUGUAUAAGAACUGUUGCUCCACGAGCUGCUUCUAUUAGUUCUGGGCAGGGCCUAGUGUCACCAGAGUACACAAUCUUCCACCCUGGUAUAACUUUUCCAACACUAUUGAUUCUCUCUGAUGCUUUCAAGACAACACCGAAUGCCUGGGGACAGUGCACAACAGGAAAGCUGAUCAAAGCCUCCAAACCUGCUUCACAGAGCACUUUCUUCAAGUUCUUUAGGAUUGGGAAAGCCACGCUAUGGUCAACAGGACUCCCUGGUCUCUUCCAAUAGCUCUGCAUACGACUUCCUUUAGCAAAUAAAGAGGAAUCAAUAUUUUGAUUCAUUAACUCAACUGUAUUUCUAUUGUUUACAUCCUCAAAACUGACUGGACCUUCUGGAGAAGAGUGUUCCUUGUUUGUUUCAAAACUGCACUCGAAAGCAUUCAGUGAAACUUCUGUGGUGUGCCUGCAAUCAAGGAACUGCAUAUCUAGAUCUUCAAGUUUUUGGUAUGCAUCUAGAUAUCUCUUAAGCUGCCUUGGCCCAAUAACAAGCAAAGGUUCAUGAGGUACUCCCUUCAACAAAUCACGUCGCAAAGUAAGUAUUCUUGCCAGACCCGCAUGGUGAUCAGCAUGAAUAUGAGAAAUCCAAAUACAUCUUAAACCCCUCACAGCAUUGUCAGCACCCUCUACACUAAAUCUGUUCUCAGAACACAUAAAACCAUUCAAGUGUUAGGGUAAUGGAGAAACUAAAACAACAGUAUUGUGCAUUUAAAAAUUCAUAAACAGUGAUUUUUACCUUCGUUUCAGUUGUCCCAGGGUUCCUUCACCGCAAUCUAGGAGCAAACUUCCCUUUGAGAAAAGAUUAAUAUAAAUAGAAGUAACAUUUCUGUAUUUAGAUGGCUGGGAAGAACCAGUCCCUAGAAGAACAAUCUCCAUGUCUUCUCUUGUUAUAUUCUCCAAACAACCAGGAAGAGUAUUCCAAUUCAACCAUGGUUCUUCAAUCAUAACUUUAUCAUCAUGCAUGGGAGUUAUCUCCCCUUUUGCUUCUCCAAACCCAUUCCAAAAUUGGCCUACUUCUUGGGCAGCAUCUACAACCUCUGGGAUCUCUGAAACUAAGUCAUCAAUUAUUUCUGAGGGAGAGCUCAAACUCGGUAUACCAGAUCUAUCCAAACCAAGCUGUGCAUAUGGGCGCAAAUGGAACUGUCCCACAUAGGGGAGAAUGUUAUUACUAUCUCAUCUGCUCUCAUUAAAUUAAGCUACCAAGUUGGUCCAACGUCAUAAAAUUUUCAUACCUUUAGAAGAUUUUCAGCAGCAACGCUUUCACAAAGCUUUGUAACAGAACCCUGGAGACAAGAAACAAACUGUUCAAUUACCCCAAAUCAUGAUAAAAUGUAGCUACUAAAAACUAAUCAUUGCCGUGUCAAAACAAUGUGAUAACAAACAAACCUCACUUGAAGCAAUCAAUUCUGGAAUUGAGUGGUUAAGAUGCCGAAGAGACCAAAAACCUGGGGCUGGAAAGAACCGAGGACAAAGGUAGUUAAGUCGUGCUGCAAUUCUUGCACUAGAUUUUAGAAUCGGAAUUUCCACAUUCUUCCUGCACAUAAAACGAGAAACAUUAAUUGCUGCAUUAGCAAACUAGUAGGAAUCACUAAUCAAAUAUAAUUGCUGCAUGAGCAACCACGUAGGAAUCAGUAAUCAAACUACCAAAGUAAGGAAAUAUAUGCUUCUGAAAGAAGGAAUUACUAAGAAGAUGAUGAUGAUGAUGAUGAUAAUGAUUGUGUAGGCAAUAAGUAACGUACAUUUCAUGUCCAGCCAUGAUAUGUUGGGCAGCACCAAAUCUCUUCAUCCACACUUGGUAAUUGGGAGCCCUUACAACAGAUGCAGGACUUAAGUGAAUUACACAAUUCACUGUUUUGGCACUCUCUGGUGGGUUGCUUGACGAACCAGCAUAAUAACUACUGAGGGAUUCCACGGAUAAAAGGUCCUGUAGAUAUGAUUCCGUUGGGCAGUCUACAAGCAAUACAAGAGGACCAGGAAUAGAAGGUCCCAUCACAUCACUUGGAUGAACCUAAAAAAUAAGAAAAACAAAGCUAUGGAUCAAAACAAAUGGUAUGAAACAUACAUAGAACACCAUAAGUAAACCCACCAUGAUAUUUUUUCGAUCUGACACUACUGAUUUCCCAAGCUGUAAUUCACGGUAUUUUGGCCCAGCUUUCAGUCCAAGAGCCACAGCUUUUUGAGGGUCAAAUUUCCCUUUAAUCUCAGGCAAUUCACAAACAUAAAUUACAGAAAUAUCACCAGGCUUCACCAUAGCACCAGCUUUGCUGUCUUCACCUGCUGAAUGUGGUAAAAUUGGUUCCUGAAGAUGAUCCCUUCUCCCUUCUAUGCCUACUUCAGAAGGAUAUAGCAUGUUGGGUUCCUCUGUCACAAUCUGAGAUCCUUUCAGGCAACUUGGUCGCAAGAGAAUGGCUGAUAUUUUCACAACUUCAUCAUCAAUGAGAACAAUGGGAUCUGAAAACUCCCUAAGAUCAGGAAUAGGAGCACCAUCAGAACCAAGAGCUUGCCCAAAGCUACGAGUAUGGACCAUGGCAGCAUUUGGGAUAAAGGAUCUCAUUGCAUCAACUAAAUAUUUAAGAUCUGAGGGACCCCAAAUAUUGACCUUUAAGGCAACAGAAAGAAGAGAUUAUAGUCAUACAUGUUAAAGUAUUAAUCUGACCAACUUCUAUGGAAGAAAAUGAACAGAGAUUAAAUCAAUCUGGUACUUACAGACAUUCCUUCAUCUCCCAUGCCAGCCAAAGUCAAAAGAAGCCCUACGAUAUAGAGUAACAAUGGAACAAUUCAGUUUCUCUUGCAGUCCUCACUUUGCAUCAAAAUCAAAAAAUGAAGUAGAGUAGUAAUGCUUUUGAAAAUGUGAUUCCACCCCGAGUAUUUCAAAUGUUCUCCUUUUAUAAGUGGAACACAGUUGCAAGUGCAACUUAAAGAAGACCAUGAAGGCACAGACCUGGAAGUCCACCAGCCGUUUCAGAGCAGACACGAGACAGAAAUAUGUGAUCAAUCUAAACAAAGAUAAAGUGUUAAAAUGCCUUCCUGCAAUUAGAGGAAUAAUUCCCUCCAUCAAAGAUGAAGGAAACUUGAAAUAUAGACCCAAAAGAAGGAACAAAAUAUGUAUUCUCAAGUAUUUAUACCUUUGACAACUUAAUCUUAUGCUCUGUGCAGAAACGUUGCAAGCCCUGGAAAGAAACUAAUACGUUAAGAGGUUAGGGAUAUAAUCAUUUAAGAGGUUCAUAAAAUUCUCUAGCAGAAGCUGCCAAAUCCAAAAGUAGAUUGAGUAUCACUUUAUACACAAUUUUACAAAAUAUCAAAAGGGUCUUUACAUCCUUCAACCUUGCCUAUUUUGGACCAUCCAUAUGAGGAAUCAGGUUACCAGAACUUGAGUUCCAGUUACAUAAAUCAACAAAAUUUUGAUAAGCAAGCAACCAGUGUCUGAUAAUGUAACAAUAAUUAUUGUAAAGACUAAAAGAAAACCAGGUUACUUGGUUAUAUGGCAAUCAUCUAUGGACUCUGCCAUCAACUGUUGACAUUUGAAAAGCAUUAAAUAUGAGGGCAAAACAUCUUUCAACGAGGGGCAGUUUCCAAGAUAAGUCCUUCACUUAUAUCAGUUUACAGUACAGUGGAAAAAGACCAAGCAAGCUCAAGUGUCAAAAGGACUCAUUUUGGUUGUAUGAUCCAUCUAUGCUUUUCAAGGAAACUAUUUUCUAAAUCCAUGUAAAGACUCAUUUGGAGGUAAAAUAAAGCAUAAUAGCUCACAAAAACUAUUUUCAAUCUCGGUUUUGGAUCCAUGCUUGGCAAAUCAUUUCAUGGGUUUUUUUUUCUUUUUCAAAGAAUAAGAAAGAAGAAAGUUAAUUCAAAAAAAAAAAAUCCAUUGAUUGGGAUACAAAGCGUCAGUAGAUAAAUCCAUCCUCUGAGAUUGGAAUUGAUUAAUAUGGCCUUCAUUUUAUUCCAUUAUGUGAAGAGGAUUCUUUAGCCUUACAAGCAGUAACAAAGUAGUUGCCCCAUGGAUGUAAACAAGAAGAGCAAAACAAAAUAAGUCUUUUAUGGCUCUUCCUCUAAAAUUCACAAGGAACUUUCUUUUUUGUUUUAUAAGAUAGGACCAAGACCUCAUGGUUCAAUGCCACAAUACAACUGGUUCAUGUACAGGUUCAACCAAAUGUAAACAAGUUCACUAGGAUAAAAGUUUCAACAUGAAGAACACUAAGUGACAAUGAACAGCAUGAAACAACCCAUAUAAGAUGUAAACCCAACAGAAAGGCACAUGAAUCAUAAUUGCGUGAAUUGCUUCUUCUUUUCUAAUCAUAAUUAACCAAUUAUAUCAUCAAAUUUAAGCAGUGGAUAAAAUUCCUCACUGCUGCCAAAUGUUUACCUCUCCAGCAUUGAAAAUAAAUCUUUGUUUAUCAAAGAAAAGCAAGACAGAAGACGAAGUAUCUUGUGUAUCCAUCCCAGUCCCCAGAAUCUGCAAUCAUAGCAAGUAAGAAGAUAUCAAAUAUUUUUAACCACAAGACAUCUUGGAUACUUCAAACUUUUAAGCUAUGUUGGGUUCCCCAAAAUUUUGAAAGAAAAAGCAAGGGGAAGAAAAUACAGAGGAGAAGUAGAAGGAAAGAAAAUGAAGAAAAAUAAAAAAUAGAUUUAAAUGCAAUAAACUAUUUUUAUAUGUUACUUCAAAUUCAUUUCACUUAUUUUAACUCUUCUAUACAAAGACUAAAUAUUUUGAAAAUACAGAAGUUUCUAACUAAUUUAACUAUAUAUGAUUUUCUUUCAGGUUUUCCACUAACAAACCAAAUAUGAAAAAAUCAUUUUCUUUACCAUUUUUUUUCUUAAUAUUUUCCUGGAUUCAAACAUAGAAAUAAAUAAAACAAUCUCUAAAUCCUAGUAAAUGCCCCGCCAAAAUAAAAUAAUUUGCAAGUUGAAACAUUUUCCAACACCCUCUUCACUAAAAAGUGAAGACAAUAUCCUCCAAUAAACUAGUUCAUGGAAACACCAUUAUGUAUCGUUUGAUUACAGGGUUUAUCUUAUGCAAAUCAGGGACAGAAUCCUAAGGCAAUCAAAGUAUGUGUUUUUCUAGCAUAGUAGUAUCACUAACUGAGAUCCUGGACUCUCAAAAAAAAUUUCCCAAAUCACAGCCUUGUCCUAAGUUUACCGCUUCUCAGCACAGCCAAAUCACAGUAUGCUAAAAGCAAACUUCAUAAAAUUAUUCACUAAACUGGUAGUUGGGUUUCCCCAACUGGAGCAGGGAAAUCCUACUAGAUGACUUCGGUAUGUUAUUCCACGCAAUAAUGACAAACCCUUGUUUAAUUUUUGGUUGAUUGUAGACAAAACCACCACAAUAUAUUCUUUUGUGCUGAAAACUGAGAAAGCUCUCAUCUUUGAUAUUAUGAAACAACUAAAAUAUAUCAUUAGAGAAUUUAUUCAAGCCCGUCUAGCUCAGUCAGUAGAGCACAAGGCUCUUAACCUUGUGGUUACUUAUCAAAAAAUAAAGAUAGAAGAAGCUGAUUGAUACAGCUUACUUCCUAGAAAGCCACGUUCAAAAAUUUGAAAAAGAAGCCAAUUUCAUCAUCUUGAAGAUGUGCACACUUGUCCCAUUUGGAUUUGCUUUCGUAUGUGCCCAUUUGAAUUCACCCAUAUCCCAAAUUAACUAGAAAAUUUAAAACUUUGAAAUACUCUCCAGUGCAAGGAAGCACCUGUAAUUAAACCCCAAAAUCCAAAUUAGCUACCAAAGUUAACAUUGAGAACCCAAAUGAACAGGAGAAUGGAGACACAAAUUACACAGUACACAAUAACCAUUAAAGAAAGCUCACAAAGACAAAAACCAAUUCAGCCAAUAAUUGCACAUAAAUUUGAAUUUAUUUCAAAUAUUUCAGUAACCCAAUCCCAAUUCCCAAGUACCCCAAAAUUCCAUUACUCAAAUUAACCACAGAGUAGAGAAUUUUCCAAAUACCCGCUUCUCCGAGCCAUAAAAUACAGCAAACCUAGUCCACAACAUCACCAUUAAAGAAUCCCCAAUGUCAAAACCCAAAAAUUACCUGAACAUAGCAUAUGGUAUUGACAGGAUUGAGUUUCCGAGCUUUCAACUGAAGGGUCUUGGGCCUGUCAUUCUUGUCUCUCCCCUCAGCCCUCCUCUUGUUAAACCCAACAGACCCAGACUCAGUCUCCUCCGUUGACAUACCUUUGUCUCUCCUAUUAGUCUCCCUGAAAGAACUGCUAUUCCUUCUCCUCAGAUGGUGGGGGUGACGACGGAGUUUAGGAUACCUUCCAGACGAAGAAGAGAGGACAGUGAAGAAUGAAGGAGGAUUGAGAAGAGGGGACUUGGAUUUGGAGAGGGUGGAGAAAGAGAGAAAUGGGGAUUUAAAUGGAGAAAGGAGAGGAGAGCAGUACAGGAGGCGGAAGCUUGUGAGAUGGGGCAUUGUUUUUGAAUUGGAUAGGCAGAGGGUUUUAGGAACCCAGCACAAAACCCUCUCCUCCAGUCUCUCCGAAGAUUUGCAAUUUUUUUUUCCUUUUCAUUGACUUAUCAUCCAAACAUGCCCUAAAGUCUAAAUACCAUGAUGUCUCUACAUUUUUGAGAGGACAAUAUUUUCAUGGAAAAUUCUUCCUAACCUACUUUCCAUUUGUUCUUUCACUGAUCACAAUCUUUGACAUUUUUUCACAUCAUUCCUACAAAGUUAUCACAAGUAAUCUUAGUAAUGUCCAUUUGUCAAAAGCAAUUAGCAUUAUGGACUCCCAAAUUGUCCUUGGGUCUCUUCAUAUUAAAAUUUUUUAAGUCCAAUUUGUUAUGAAGUCUAAGUCACGGUAGUGUUUGUUUUUUGGUUGAACAUAAAAAGUCAAAAUAUUUGAUUUUUUCAAUUCAACUAAAAAUAACUCAUUAACAUCAACCAACAUAAUUAAACUAAAUUUAUUGAUAAUAAGUUUACUUUAAUUAUAUUAAUUAAUAUUAAUAAGGUACUUUUAACUAAAUAGAAAAAAUCAAAUAUUUUGACUUUUUCUAUUUAGUCAAAAAAUAAAUACCACAUAUCUCAUUCAAAAUUUUAGAGCUAAGUAGGGUGUUGUAUAUUUAACAUUAUCUUAAGCCAAACCCAACUUAUUUUGCAAUAGAGGCCUUUGUACGAUAAUUUUUUUGAGGAUUUGGUGAAACUUUUUCUGGUCUCCUUCUCUAUCAUUAGAUAGCUGCCACCCCUCAUCUUUUGACCAUCUUCUCAUUUUUUGGGGGUUUAGGGUUAGUCAAAAGAAGUGUAAUUGGUGUUGAGAGAAGAUAGGUGUUUAUGAUUGAAGCGGGGAAAGGGGCAUGAAAUUAGGAUGAAAUUAUAAAAAUGUCAUUCUUAAUGGUCAAUGAAUGAACAUUGCUUUAAGAUUGUGUUGUAGCAUUUGGUAAAUAUUAAAAGUAAUAAGGAUAAAAAAGGUAAAAAAAGUUGCAACAAAACUAUAUUUUGGCUUUUAUAAUAUAAAAAUUUAUGCUAUUUAAUAAAAAAUAUUAACAUAUUUAUAUUUAUUCUUAUCAUGAUAUCAAAAAUAAAUACUAAAAUACUAUAUUUUUAAUUUCUCAUAAUUAUUUAUAAAUUUAAUAAUAUAUGUAAAUUAUAUAUUUAUGAAAUCAUUCUAACAUCAUGGUUGUAUUAUAGUUGAAUAUUGACAUGAUCCUUGAAUUAUGAUUUAGUAACUUUUUUUAUUUAUGUGAUGAAAACAAAAGUAACAAUCAUUUUUUUGGUUGGCUUUAGGGAUUGAUUUUAAGGCUAUUUUCAAAAGUUGCUAUGCCUAAGAGUAUUAUUAUUAUUAUUUUUUGGAUGAGUUUAUUUCAGUCAUAAAUAUAUAUAAAAUAAAAAAAUAAUUUAUUUUAAUAAUAGAAGAAAUUGCACCAAAUUGACGGCAGGUAAAAUCAAUUUAAAAUAUAGAGUGAAAUAAUUUAAUAUAUCAUAAAUAAUAAUCAAUUAGCACUGCCACCACAAAGCUGGAAUAGCUCAGUUGGCUAGAGCGUGUGGCUGUUAACCACAAGGUCGAAGGUUCAAGCCCUUCUUCUAGCGAUUUGUUUUCCCAUUCCCAACCUUUCAUUAUGUUGACUUUUUCCCUCUCCUUUCCAAUCACUACCUUCCGCCCUGUUGACUUCUUCUCUCCCCUUUCCAAUCAUCACCUUCCAUUCUCUUGAUCAACGGUUAAGACCUAUCUCCUUAGGGUCCCCCACAUCACAAACAGAUAAGAUAAAUAUAAGAACCACCACACAAGCCAUCCUCCAACCCCAAAUGCAAAUAUCCAAUUAACCAUUACAAAACAAUCUCAAUCCACACCCCCUCUCCUCCCUCCACUUCUCUUCAAAUGGGUACUCUUCAACUCAACUCAUAUGGCCUAUCUUCUUUCUCACUCACCCAGAACUUCACCUCCAAAACCCACAAAACCCUUAAACCCUUCAACCCUCCUUCCUCCUCUAGACCCAAAAUCAAGGCCAUUGGGACCAUCCCAGAAAGCCAGUCACAGGCUACCCCAUCAGAUGAACCACCUUCCGUCAACUUUGCAUUUGUCAAUGUAAGUUUUGAAUUUUAACGGAUAGUUCUUUUGAAUUUUGUUUUACAUAUGCCCUUAGGCAGUGGCAACUUAGUAUGAAUUGUGGUUUGUUUUCAGUCAGUGUUGCUCCCUGAUGGCACCCCGGAUGUACAUUUCCGAUCAGCAUGUGGUGGCCAAAAACUUAGGGACAUAAUGUUGGAUUCUAACAUUGAUUUAUACGGACCGUAUGUACGUAUUCUUGACUCAUAUACGGUAUAUGUAUGUGUGUACCAUUAUGAUUUUGUGUGCUUUUGUACCAAGUGGUUUGGUUGUACAUUGGUUUUCAGGCUAGGCCUCUGUUAAAUUGUGGAGGAGGGGGAACCUGUGGGACUUGCAUUGUGGAGGUGAUUUUUAUGAAUUUAUAAGCAAUUUUGGAAUUUAUUUUAGAGGAAUUAUGCAAAUACAGUAGUGGGUAUUUAUGAAUUACCAUUAUUUCAUAUGAUAUAAACCCUACAUUCAAAUUUAGAGAUGGGUAUGUUACCCUAGGUCCUCUUUUCACAUGGUCCCUUUUCCUUUUUCUUGUUUAUAGGUUAUUGAAGGGAAGGAUCUCCUCACCCCACGGACAGACAAGGAGAAGGAAAAACUCAAAAGGGUAAUUAUUUUGACAAUUCCUAUAAACUUGAAUGAUAAACUUUCAGAAGUCAAUCUAAAUAGGGUCUUAUUAGAGUGCGUUUAGGAGUGAUUUUAGAAAAUUUUUUUAGCAUUUUUAAUACUUGAAUGAUAAAAAAUUUUAAGUGUUAGAAAGACUAAAAACGUUUUCUAAAAUUACUAUCCAACGAACUCUUAGUAUUGUUUGUCGAUAAGGUUAAUAAUAAAUUACCCUAAUACUAAUAUUAACUUAAUGAUAGCAAAGCUAUCUUAAUAGGUUGGCAUGAGAGCUUGAAGCUUAGAGUGUGAACAAGAACAGUUGAACAUGUAGACUACUAUCAUAAGACCCUUGUUGCAUUAGGUUUUUAUGGAGUAAAAGCUCUUUUGUGAUCUAAAAGGACUUAUGUUUGGCUAAAUGGGCUAUUGUUUGCAGAACCCAAAAACUUGGAGACUUGCCUGUCAAACCACAGUGGGCAAGGCAGACUCAAGAGGCCUGGUUUGUCAUUAGACUCAAGCCCACUUCUCAAAUCUUAGUUCAUGCCCAAUCAAAUUGCUUACUCCUUUUGGGUCUUAUGCAGGUGGUGAUCCAGCAACUUCCCGAAUGGAAAGCCCAUGAAUGGACUUAUGAAAAAGAAUUGCCUUCGGAAACUUGACAACAGUUUUCUUUUCUUCUUUCUUUCUAAUCAUGUAAAUUUAAUAUAAUUUGGAAUACAACUUUGAGAUUUUUUUUUUUUAAGUUUUUAUUUUAGCAUGACAUGCAAUGGAAAUAUGAAGGGUGAAUGGAAGGUUAAAAAUGGAAAUGAAACAAAGAAUUUAUAUAAGCCCGUGUUGUUUGAAUUUGAGAGCUACUCAAUGAUAGUAAUGGAACGAGUUUUUUCAAAUACAUGUCUGAUCCGUCUCCAAUGAGAAGAGUUUGGGAUAAAGAUAAACGAGUUUAAGGUAAGUUUAAUAAAAUUUUAAAAACCUGGGAUGAGUUCAAGAUGGGUUCGAUAUGACUUUGUCUUGUCACAUCCCUCAAUUAUAUAUAAUUUUAAAUACAAAAUUAAUUUUAUUGAUUUUUUUCAUUUUCAACUUUUUAAACAUAAAUAAAAUAUUAUUUUUUAUAAAAAAAAAUAAAUUGUAAAUAUUUACAAUAUUUUUAUUUAUAAAUUAUAUUUAUUUUAAAAAUAAAAAUUUUGAAAAAGUUCAAAAAAUUUAAGUGGGCUAAGGCGGGGCAGGGUGGGUACAAGAAUUUCCUAUACUCACCUUGCCUCACCCCGUCUCAUCUCAUUUAUUUAUUUUUUAUUUUGAUAAUAAUGGAAAUAAAUAUAAAUAAAUGGGACAAAGUUGAGAUAAGGUAACCCAUACUAAACUUGUCCCAUUGUCAUCCUUAGAACUACCCCUAUUCAAAGGCUUCCAAUAUCUACCGUUGUUCCUAGAAUCAACUUAAGGAAGAAAAAGAACUUGAAGAGAAAAUCCAUGUCAAAAGGAUUCAACUUUGUCUCAGUGAACAGUUUUGUUAUAAAUAUUUGUGUCCUAAUCUAAAUAAAUGUACACAUAUUGCAAAAUUAUAAAUUAAGCUGAUUGCAGUAAAAAAGUCUAAACAAGCACUUGGUUAUAUUCCAUCACAUAGCAUUAUUAUCUUUUGGUUCCAUUUCAAUUGGCUUGUAAGAUGAUCUAUUUGGAGCAAAGACUUUUAUACUUGAUUAGAAAAUUCUCCUAGAAGUUUAUUAUAACUUAUAUAAUAAGUCAUAAUCAAACUUAAUAAUCAAGCAAAAAAAAAAGCUCCACUACACACAUCUUUCAUCUUAUUUUGAUGUUAACAAUUCAUUUUAGAUGUGACAUGGUGCAUUUCCUCUUUCUUUUUAUUUCUUUCUUCUUCUUUUUUUUUUCCUUACUUCUAGUAUGGAUUUUUAAUUUUCAAAUGGUCUCACUCCUUUGAAUAAUCAAUAGCCACCUUUGAUUAUUGAAAUUUUCCCACCUUAGAAAAGUAUGUUUUCCCCUCAAUACAAACAAACCUAGCCCAUACAUCAUGGAUGGUAGUAUGAUACCACUUGCUUUAAGAAAGAAAAAUUCUUUAAAAUAUAUCAUUUAGAAACUAUUUUCAAAUGUGAAUUGAAAAUCAUCUUUUGAAAUGAUAAGUUUUUAUUUUAUUUGUUCUAUUUUAAAUCCCCACUAGGCUUCCCUGUAGCCAUUAUUGGCAUACGUUCAAAGGAGGUUGGUUACAUUAUUAGCACAUAGGUGGGCCACACUACUCCACUCCACAACAAAACCCACAAGGGAAAAAAAACAAAAACCUAGAAAGCAAAGUGGCUGCACAUCACCAACCUCAUUCAUAUGCAUAAUUGCAUCUUUUACACAGCUUGAACCAAAGCAAGGGCUUUACAAAUCCAAAAGGGAGAGAAUCGAAGAAGAUCAAAGAACAAAAUACAAGUACAAAAAGAAAGAAGUAGCACAACUUGCUCUUCCUCCUUUUUAUUUCAAAGGGAAAUGGGUUGAGACAACAACAAACAAUUGAGUUCCUGAAAAAAACUCAGCUUAGAAUUCGCUGGACGCUAGUGGUUGAUGAUCAGAGCCCAUGUACAUAAUUGCAUAGACAGAUCCUCCCAUGCCACCUCCAAUUAGGGGUCCCACCCAGUAGAUCCAGUUGUCCUUGAAGUCGCCGCUGACGACGGCGGGGCCGAAGGAGCGGGCGGGGUUCAUUGAUCCACCGGAGAAUGGGCCUGCAGCCAGGAUGUUUGCACCUACAACAAGACCUAUGGCAAUGGGUGCAAUGAUGCCCAGUGAGCCCUUCUUCGGGUCAACCGCCGUUGCAUAGACGGUGUAGACCAGAGCGAAAGUGAUCACGAUCUCGAAGACAAUAGCAUCAAUGACUCCAACCCCAGCUCCAAGACUAUGGACGGGAGUCGUCUGCCACAAAAAAAAAGAAAAAAGAAAAAAAAAAGGCCAUUUAUAAUUAGGGUUACAUUGAACUUCACCAACCAAAACCCAAUCUCAAGGAACCUAUAGGGUUCAGGAAGGACAAUCUUUCUAAUUCAAGAAGGAGCUUUAACCAUAGCCCCAAACUUACCAAGCCUCCUGUGACAAGUUUGAGUAGGAAACAUGCAAGAAUGGAGCCAACAAGCUGGGCAAUCCAGUACAAGAUGCCAGUGAGAAUGGUGAUCUGACCACCAACAACCAGCCCGAAGGUCACCGCAGGGUUAACAUGGCCACCGGAGAUGUUGGCGCUAAUAGCGACUGCAACAAAGAGAGCGAAACCAUGGGCAACAGCAACCGCCACCAGCCCCGCCGGGUCAAGAGCAGCGUCUGAUGUCAACUUGUCUGCCAAAGAAAGAAGAAACCCUCAAUUAUACUGAUCCAGUUUAUCAUUGACUAGUCCUUACAGAUGUUUAUAGUGUAUG
RNAcentral lists this long non-coding RNA (52500 nucleotides) under Vitis vinifera (wine grape). Its description in RNAcentral is "long non-coding RNA (VVIN_LNC002762)". The stretch from base 47945 to 48018 matches the Rfam family "tRNA". The record is from RNAcentral. Lineage: Eukaryota; Viridiplantae; Streptophyta; Magnoliopsida; Vitales; Vitaceae.